UAUAGCAUAUAAUAGGAUGUCCUGUAUAAUGUCACGAGAGCUAGUACCGUUGCCAAGCAGUAAUUAGUAGUGCUGAGUUUAGAAUAGGAAACGGAUCCAGGAGUCGAAAGAUAGAAAAAAUACUGAAGUGCGAGUGUCCGUAUGGAAACAGCAACCAAAAGCAUGUAACAGGUCCCAAACAAGGAAAGUGUUAUGAGAAUAAACAAGGACAUUGAACGGCUGGGUAGGAGAUACGCUGUUAAAACAGUUGUUGCCCAAAAGGUUAAAGUGUUGUAUAACCAAAACAUUGUGGACACGUCUAGUAUAUUUUCUAUUUUUUUUUCUUCAGCGGGUGGAGGACUUGGUACGGGUCCAGUGCUGGUUGAACCUAAAGAUAUGUCAUACGUGAGAUGGAAAUUCUGGGAAUUUGAAAUGGUAUCAGGCUGCUUUGGAGGGUUCAAAGUGGCAGUGUAUGUGGCUGUUAUAAUUAGCACUGUGACUACUAAAAAUGUGUUACGCGUCUCAUGUGGGAUUCCCUUCUUUCCACGACUUGCUAUUGUUGCAAUUUUUUGAAGAACUGACACCUUUCCUUUUAAAGAUUCGAUGGGGAUUGAAGAGAUGGAGGCUUUGGGAAGCGAGGAAGAGGAACCACGCAAACCUCCUGCUUUGCUUAUCAUAUCUUUAAUGGACUCCUUAUAGUCCACUCUCCCUUCAUCCAAUGGGUAUUGUGAUGGGAUAUCAAGUGCAGUCAAUCCCUCCGCAUUUUUGGCAUUGAUAUGGUCUCCACACAAGCGUUUCAGCAGUACUUUUACCACCUGUUAAUUAGAAUAUUCAUACAAGUAACCUUUGAGUAUAUAUAUACAUAAAUAAUUUUACUAGCAAAAUUAUCAUACCUGAGGUCUGUUUCUGAUAGUAGCAACAUGUAAAACAGUGUUGCCAUCAAUGUCUGCCCAACUCAGUAGUUCUUUCUCCCAACGGUUGGCAGCUUUAUGGCGGCUCCUUAUAAGCCACCCCACCAAGACUUGGAAAGCUUCAAACCUGUCAUUUUUUACGGCAAGAUGGAAAACCGUCUCAUCUCGAACAGUCACAUCUUCAAUAGCCUCGGGGCAAACCUCAAGGAACUUGAUCAAAAAAUCAACAUUUCCAUUUUGAACCACAUGAUGCAAAGGAGUGAAGCCCUCCCGCCCUUUGACACGAACAAGGCCUUCAUCAAACCUGAGGAGUCGAAGCACUGCUAGAGUUUUUUGAUUUUGCAGAGCCAAGUGCAUGGGGCUAAACCCAGCUUGGUUUAGCUUUCUUGCAAACGAUGGCUUUAAGUUGAUCAUCUCCAUCAUAAAAUCAAUAUGCCCUGCAGAAGCUGCUACAUGCAAAGGAGUAUGGAAAAAAGGUACAUCAUCGAUACGCUGUAAAACAUAUGGAUCAUUCAGAAUUAACUCAUACAAGAUGUUUAUGUCUCCUGUUUGUGCAGCACCUAUCAUCCUCUCAUCCAUAGCAAGGUGCGGAAAUUUGCAGAAUAUAGAAAUGGAGUGAAGAAAAAACGCUUUAGCAGAGGAUAUGAUUAUGUUAAGGAUAUAAUGAAGUGUUUGAUUAUUUUUUCCAGAUGAAGUGUUAGACAUUUUAUAGCACUUAAUUAUUUUGGAUUUAUAUGUGAUGUCAGCCUCUACACGUAUAUACGUGAAUGUCACCUAUUAGAAAGAAAUAGUAAUUAAAUUCAUAUUUAAUAUACAUUUUUAAUCUAAUUUUUUUAAUUCAAUUUAAUUUUAGUUAAAACGUUUAAAAACAUUUAUUUAAUCUAAUUUCUUUAAUAUAUUAAAUAAAAAAGAAAUAUUAAAUAAAUUGGAUUAGAGAAUAUAUUGAAUAUGGAUGAAUACUGUAUCAUACUAAUUUUAUGUCUCUAAAAAUUUUAUAUAUUAUUUAGUGGUUUAAUUUUUUAAGAACAUUUGAUAUAAUUCAUAAAGAAAACAAAUAAUAAUUAAUAAUAAAUUUUUUAAUAAAAAAGGUGUGAAAAAUGGUAAGUAGAUAAUAGCUAUUAUCGCUUACAACAUGUUUGGAUUAAAAAGAAGAAAAAAGAAGGGAAAAUUAAGUAAAUUGAGGGAAAGAAAAUUCGGUUUCUUUGUUUAAGUAAAGAAAAUUAAGUAAAUUUUUUAUCGUAUCAUUAGAUUUUAUAUUUUAGAUUAUUAUCUCUUCUUCUUCUUUUUAACUUGUAACAAUCUUAUUUUUAUUUUCUAUUUUUUUAGGUUACUAGAAAUAUUUAAUUUUAAAUUUGUUUGAUAUAUAUUUUUAAAAAUUUUAACAAUAUUUUUUUAUUAACUAUUUUGUUAAAUUAUUAGGAAUCCUUCAUUUAUAAUUUGGUUAAGAUUUUUUUUUUAGUUUGAUCAAAUAAGCUUAUUAAAAAAAGAAUAUACCAAUAUAUUAUUGGUUAACAUUUUAAUUAUUAUUUUAUAUAGAAUAUUGAUAUUUUUCUAUAAAUUUAAUUUGCUGUGAUUUAAUUUUGUUAUUAUAUAUUAUUUAUGAACUGUUAAAAUUAAAAAAUAAAAGUAAAAUAAUUCAUUUUCUUUCCUUUUCACAGUUUAGCAAAACAAGUCCACAGGCUCGUCUCAUUCAAAAAAAGUAAAUUAUAUAUAUAUAUAAGGGCUAGUUUUAACAAAUGAAAAAUAUAGAAAAACUAUAUUAAAAGAAAUGGGGAAGGGAAAAGAACAGAGGGAGAAACAGAAGAGAAUGAAAAAUAAAGAAAAGUUAAAAUAACAUAAAAAAAAUUAAGGGUGGGUUUGGAUGGGCGAUUGGGUGCGGUGCGGUGCGUUUAGCUUAUUUUUUGUCUCACACUACAGUGUCGCUACAGUAUCUAAUCUCACCGCCACCGCUGUUUUUACACUAACUGCAGGUAAACGCACCGCCCAUCCAAACCCACCCUAAAUUGAAUUGCUCAAAACGAAAAAAUUAUAGGAAUCGGUUGUAUAAAUCACCCUAAAAUUUUUGUUUGAAAGAUGAUUUAACAUGUCACAUCAGUUUAUCGUUACACCAUUAACGGAAAUUAACAGCUCAGUGACUAAAAUGUUACAACGUGAUAACGUAAAUGACUAAAAUGUAACGUUUCAAACAUAAGUGACUAAAAUGUAAGCAAAAGUGACUAUUUUAAUAAUUUACCCUUGCAUUUAUCCAAACAUACGCUUAACGUAAACAUUUUUUUAAUUAUUUUUAUUUUAUUUUAUUUUUUACCAUUAUCCGUUAUCCUUAUUUUUAAAAAGUAUAAUUAAUAAAUAGUAUAAUUAUUUUUUAAAAUUAAUUUUAAGUAAUACACCAAAUAGAUUUUAUAACUUAAAUUUAAUAUUUAAUUUUAUAAUUUUUUUUUAUCAAACAACGUUUACUCCUAAGUAAAUAAAUAAAUAAAGGCCUUGUGUAAUUAAGAAAGUUGAGAAAGAGUUAGUCCUCACAUUGGCUAAAAUAACGGAGGAAAGAGAAAAAUUGGCCAAUAAUGGGGAGGCAAUGUCAAUGAGCAUACCCCACACAUACUAUUUACUGUCAAUGGUGAUGGCUGAAUUGGCUACUAUACAUGGAUUUUGUUUUCCUUUUCUUUUUUGUUCUUGUCCUGUAUUAUUUGCAUUUGUGAUCCCAAACUAUGUAAAAUUCCAGUCACUAUGUGAUCACAUUUUAAAAAAAAAAUUAUUUAUUAUCGAUUGAGUAUCAGCUUGAUUGGUAUAAAUAUUAUUGUUAAUGUAUAAGAACAUAAAUUUGAGUGUGUUAAAGCGCAUUAUCCUCUUAUUUAUAGAUUGAGAAGUGGUUAUUGGUAGUUCUAGACAUUGUGUAGAAAAGAAUACAUAUAAUCAGAAUCUAUAUUAAAAUUUUUCAAAAAAAUAUAUUUAUUACACAUGAAUUAAAAGAAAUCUAUUUAUGGGUAGUUCAAGAUUGUUGAAGCUAUAAAAUAAAAAUUCAAUUCGAAAAUAUAAAUCUCUUUUGUUUAACAAAAUAUUAAUAAUUAGUUGAGUUAAUAUUAUGAGUCAAUCGAACACCAAUUUAAUUAAGAAAUUACGAAAAUAUCGUUCCAUAAUUAAAAUAAAUUAUAUUAUUUGAGGAUAUUUUAAUAUUUUUUAUGUAAAAAAAAAUCAAUAAAAAUAUGAAUAUGAUGGGAUUUGAAAUAAAAUCUAGAAUUUACCACUCAACCAAAAUUUUAUUUUAUUAUAUUUUAUACAUUUUUAUUUUAAUAAGCACACUUUAUUAUCUCCGUCAGUUAUAUAUAUAUUAAUAAAUUUAUUGAUUGAGUUGAUAUCACAAGUCAACUCAAUACUAACCGACAAUUGAAGACAACACUUUGAUAGACAGUUGUAGUGCAUUUAAUUAAUAUUUUUAUUUUGAUGUAUUUAUGUGUUUAAAUUUUAUUUUUGCUCCCAAAUUAAUUUAAUUUUUUAUUUUAAUGUCAUACAUAUUUUAUAUAUUCUUAUGAUUAAUUAGCUUCAAACCAUAUGUUUUAUUAUUUAUUUUAUUUUUUUAAGCAUAUAUCUGUAUUCCAAAUCUAAACGCAAUUGCUUAUGUUAGUCAAUGUUACAAAUUGAGAAAUUUAUUAAAACUAUUGAAAUCUUCACAUCUAACCUGGUUUUAUCAUGUUUGGAAGACGCUAUUGAUCUUCUUCAAGUGGUUUUUUCACAAAUAUACUAUUCAUAUAUAUAAAAUAUGAUGAGUAAUAAUGUAUAGUGACGUGUCCAAACACUAAUUGAUGAAAAAAGUGAGUAAUAUUUUAUUACAACAUGAUGCCUUUUCAUAGUAUAAAAUGACUAUGCGAAUGAGGGCUUCCUACCAUUACCAGAAAGCUGAGGCUGUAGGAAUGAUGGCUUUUGCAAGUUGUGAUUUUAGGAUUUUGUGUUUGAUUAUUGUUUAGUUAUGCUAAAAUGUCACAUAUGGGUACUGUUUUAAGUUAUGUGUGAAUUCUAAGUUGAAUAUGUAGCCGCCUAAAAUAUUUAGGAGCGCUAAUUGAGAUCAUUACGAAAGAAAAUUGUAUUCUAACGGUGUAUGAAAAUUUGGACAAAAAUCUCAACUUUUUAUUUUUUUUUAAAUUUUAUUUUUGCUCCCAAAUUAAUUUCAUUUUUUAUUGUUGUACAUAUUUUAUAUAUUCUUAUGAUUAAUUAGCUUCAAGCCAUAUGUUUUAUUAUUUAUUUUAUUUUUUUAAGCAUACAUCUGUAUUCCAAAUCUAAACACAAUUGAUUAUGUUAAUUAAGGUUACAAAUUGAGAAAUUUAUUAACACUAUUGAAAUCUUCACAUCUAACCUGCUUUUAUCAUGUUGGGUAGAUGCUAUUGAUCUUCUUCAAGUGGUCUUUCACGAGUAUACUAUUCAUAUAUAUAAAAUAUGAUGAGUAAUAAUGUAUAGUGACUGUCCAAACACUAAUUGAUGAAAAAAGUGAGUAAUAUUUUAUUACAACAUGAUGCCUUUUCAUAGUAUAAAAUGAUUAUGCGAAUGAGGGCUUCCUAACGAUGGCUUUUGCAAGUUGUGAUUUUAGGAUUUUGAUUGUUUGAUUAUUGUUUAAUUAUGCUAAAAUGUCAUAUAUUUGUGAGCCCUACACUCACAUCAAAUUUAGAUAUGACAAACAUGAUUUAAAACAAAACCAUAUUAUAUUACUAGCUGUGAGCAAUUUAAAGAAAUUGAAUUUCUUUUUUACAAUUUUAAGUUAAUCAAUUAUUUGAUUUUUUAAAAUUAACUUGAAUGAGUGAUUUUGUUUUUCAAGUUUAAGUCAAGUUGAAUUUUACAACUCAAAUAUAAAUAUCUCUUGGGUCACUGAUAGUUUUAAAAAUGUACAAACUGAUCUGUCUCAAAAAUUUUAAAAAUUCAAAAUGAUCUUCUAAAACUCAAAAUAUUUAUAAAAUAUUUUCCCAAAAUUUUAUAAAUACAUAUAAAUUCAAAGAAUUUACCACUUAAAAAUAUAUAAAAAAUAUUAAAUUAUAUUUUUUGAAAAAAUUAAUAAAAUAAAUUUGAGGUCUUAAAUAAGUAACUUAUUAAUUCAAUUUUAUCAUACUAAUUAUCUUGUAUUCCAAGAGUUUUCAUAUAUAUCAGGGGCGAAGCCAGAAAAUUUUUUUUUAGGGGGGCAAAAUGAAUUUUUUAUUUUUAAUAGUCUAUAUCUUUAUAUUAAUAUUUGAACUGGUAUAAAUUAAGAUUGUUACGUCUAACAUUUAUAUCGAAUAAUUUUUACUAUAGAGAAAAGAAGUAAAAAUAAUAAUAUAUGAUGUAAAAUUAUUAAUUUGAGUCUUAACACAGUCGGUAUUUGUAUGUUGUUUAUGUAAUAUGGAGUGAGUUCAAGUAUGUUCAUGUGUAAUUUUUCUUUCUAUUUAAAGGUUGGAGAGGAGUUAGGGUGAAGCUAGAAUUUAUUUUUUUUGGGAGACGAAAUUAAGUUGUAUAUUUUUAUGAGAGUUAAAAUACAAUUUCACAAUUUCAAUAGAUUAUAUGUUUACAAUUUUUAAAGAACUAAAUCAAUAUUUUAUCAUUUUUUGGGGCUAAAGUACAAUUUUACCAUUUAUUAACUUAAAAUUUUAUAAACUUAAUUUAAAGGGUUAAAAUUUGAAUUUCACAUUUUAAAGGGAGGGAUAGAAACCCUUCUAGGCUCCCCUCUUGCCGCCCCCCUAAGAUGAUAUAAAGUAAAGCAAUAAGUGUCUAAAAUAUAUGAAUUAUGAGUACUGAUUACACUUGACCAAUUGCUUUUCUUCAAACAAAGCAAACACUAAUGCACAUGAAAAUGCAAAUUCACAUGCAACCUAGAUAUGCAUUCUAUAUACAAUGCAAUGCAAUGAAUAAAUAAAUAAAUAAAUAUAUAUUAUUUAAUCAUGAGAGUUUUGAUCCCCUUGUGAUUCUUUAACCAACCAUUCUCACACCUAAUUAUAAUUCUAGUAUAGUAAAAGUACGUGAGUGAGUUGAAUGGAUGGUGGUUGUUUGACAUAACAUGUAGAAAGUGAAAAAAUAGUUGAAAAUAAAUCAAGUAUUAAAACAAAAAAUUUAUGAAAGAAAUUCUAGUAUUAUCAAUUUUUCGUGAGGCUCAAAGCUAUUUGGAACAAAAAUAAAAUCAAUGUGUAUAGGCUUAACAAAAUAGCUAUCAUCUUGCAUUGUUAUUUCAUCCUAACCUCUUCCCUCAUAACUUCAUCUUCUAUUUUCUGUUUGACAUUAUCAAAAGUAAAACAUAGUUUUUUUAGGUUUUUCGACUAUUUAUGCAUCAAACUUUUAGGCCAUUUUGGACAUCUUCAUAAUGUUUUUGGGCUUUAAUCUAAGAAAUAAAUUUAGAUAGAUCUUUCAAGUCACAUCAACAUUUCAUAAAUGAUUUAAUAAAUGAGUAAUAAAAGGAUUUAGGGUUAAUGUGCAAAUUUGUCACUAUACUUCAAUUUGAUUGGUAUUUGAUAUUUGAUAUUGAAUUUUAUUGCUUUAAUUUAAUUGAAUUUUGCCACUAAAAUUAGAAUUUUUAUUGAAUUUUCUAUUCAAUUUAAAUUUAAAAUAACUUGAAGGCUAAGUUGAUUAAAAAAUAGUUUUAUAUUUCGCUUUAAUAUUAAAAAAUAAUAAGUUAAUUAAUAUAAUAUUAAAUUUAAAUAAAAUAGUUAUUUUAUAAAAUAAAUUUUUUUUUCUCUUUUAUGAGAUAUGGACUCAUUAACAAUAGAAAUUCUAAUUUAAUUUAUUAAUUUUUAAUAUUUAUAAGUUAAAUUAUUGUUAAAUAUUAAAAUAAAAUAUUUGAAAGAAUUUUUCUUAUUAUAUAUAUUAUGUUUUAAAAUCAUCAAAUUAAUAUUGAGUGGUAAAAAUUAAUUAAAAAAUUGAUUUGGAGAAAUUUUUUAAUAAAAUUGAAAAUUUAUAGUAAAAUUCAAUCACAUAAUAGUUGAUUGAUAAAUUUACACAAAAACUUAAAAUAUAGCUAUGAAUAUCAAUGAAAAUAAAGUAUAGUAGCAAAAUUCAAAGUAUAGUGACAAAUCAUAUAAGUUCAAUGAAUAAAAGAAAUAAAAAAUUAAAUAUAUGAUUAAAAAGAUUUUUUUUUUUUUACGAAAUUGAAAGAUCAAAUAAAUCAUUAUACGUAAUAUAAACAAAAUCACAAGUAUCCUUAAACUUGGCUUAAUUGCCAAUUAGACAAUUUAGGAUGUCAGAUGCAUAAUCAACAAUUUGGAGAUAAAAGGAUGAAUAACCAAGUAUUUUUAUAAAUAAAUUUGUUUUAGAAGAAUGGGAUGAGUUUUAGAGUAUAUAGAGAAGUAGGGUAGUUCUUCCUUCUCCGCAUAGUGGUUUUGCCUACAAUAAUGAAGCAAAGGGAAAAACACGAGGAUGAGAUGCAAUGAAUUCCCCUUGCAUACCCAAUACGUACUAUUUACUAUUUCUUUUCCCACUGAGAAGUUGGUAUUUUGGAAUUAUCGUUUUCAGCUCUACAAAUGUUCUUGGUGCUGUGUCUGUCUUUCUUUGGUGGGUUCUUGCUUUCUGAAUCUGGUUCUACUGUCGAUUUGGAUGGUUAGGAUACAGCGCUUCAGGCAACUGAUGUUCAAAAGGUUCGAUGGCAUUGGGGAUAUGAUGAUUUUAAGUUUAUUGUCGCCCCAUCAGUUGGUUGUUUGGGUGCACAACUAAAUUUUAGUAUUAUUUUAUUUUCCAUAAUUAUAUUUAUUUAAAUUUUAUAAAUAUUUUCUAAGUCUUAAGAUUUUAUUUUUUGCAUUUUAUGAUUUCUUUUUUUGGAUUUUUAAUGGUUUUUAAAUUUUUAUAAUUUUUCUAAAAUGUUUUAAGUAUUUUGAUUGUGUGAGGUUUUGUGAAUGAAGCGAAGGGUAUCUUUAUUGUGGUGAACUUUUAAUUAGCUCAAAAUGAAGUGAUUUAUUACGUCGUGUGAUUUACGGAUAAGUGUUAAAAAUGAAAUGAAUUGUUGAAUUUGAAAACAAUGGUGUAAUAUUGCAGGGAUUUCCAACAUUAUCAUAAAUUUUAGUGAAUUUAGAGACGAAAUCACAGGUCCACUGAGUUUUGUUCAAAUUUAGGGAUUUCAUCGUCAUAUACGGUCGAUUUGGAUAGUUAGCAUACAAAGCUUCAGAUCAUUGAUGUUCAAAAGGUUUGGUGGCCAUGGGUAUAUGUUGAUUUUGAGUUUAUUGUUGCCCCAUAAGUUAGUUGCACUAAAAAAAUGGGUAUUACCGAUGCUAAAAAUUGUUACUAAAAUUUUAUUGUAGCAAUAAAAGUUGUUGCGGGAUUGUUGUGUAUAUCUUUGUUGUCUAAAAUAUAUGCAACUCUACUCAAUUACACAAUAUUUACUCUUAAAUAUGACCUAUUCAACCACCGAUUUCAGCACAUUAAACACAAAUUAAUAAUCUAGAAAUAUCAAACCAAGAAUUAAAUACACAUAAUUGAGAACAAUAAAUUAAGUGUUUAUUGCAUAAAAUAAAAAAUAAAUGAUAGAAUCCAUCAUAGAGUUCACCUCCCUAGGUAUUUAGAAAAUUAGUUCAAGCUUGAAAAUAAAAACAUCCAAGAAAUAGUACAACCAAAAGAAAUAAAGAAAUUCAUGAUAAUCUCCUAAGAAAUCAACUGAGAAUCUUCAAUCUUGACAGAAAUUUGCUUCCAACUUGGCUUCAAUGGUAUUUUUCGAGUUGUUUUCUUGAAUAUUUUAUGACGGCACUCUCAUAUCUUCUUAAUUUUGUCAUAUAUACGUCUUAGAAUGCCCAAAAAACUUAAAAAUUGUGAUUUUAUGCUGUUUGUGUGGCAAUUCCACGAAAUCGACACAGCCUACUACACACCAGUGUGGGUCAUACGACUGUGUGCUUUCCUCGUGUGAAAUUUAGAAAAUGCAAAAGAUUCCCUAUGCACUAGCUGCUGGAAUCUAAUGUAUGCUCAAGUAUGUAUGCGUCCAGAUAUUGCAUACAUUGUUGGGAUGUUAGGCAAACAUUUAAGCAACCCUGGUAUAGACCAUUGGAUAACAACUGAAAGGGUUAUGAGGUAUCUUUAGAGAACAAAAUAUUACAUGCUCACAUAUUGGAUGUUUGAUAAGUUAGAGAACAUCAAGUUUACAGACUCCAAUUUUGAUGGAAUAUUGAUGCAACAUUUUGCCACUAGAGUGCAAACUGUGACAAUAAUUAGUAGUCUCUUAUUCCAAUAACAAUAAAAGCACAUCAAAGUCAAAGCACAUAGACUUUAAGUUCAUAGUUGUUAAAAUAAAAGUUCAGGGUGGUUAGAUGUCUAUAAAGUAUAUUGAGACAAACUUCAUGAUUGCGGAUUCGCUUACUAAGGGACCACCACCCAAAGUUUUUUUCAUGAGCACACUAUUGAUAUGAGUGUAAUGUCAUUCACUACAGAAUAAGUUUUUAGUGGCGUUAUUUUGGGGCUAUAACUGCCUUAUAAGCGUCGCUAAAACAACUUGCGGCGUUUUGAAAAGCACCGCUAAAAACGCCACUAUAGAACAUGACCUUUAGGGGCGCUUUUCCCACAAAUGCCGCUAAAAGUAUGACCUUUAACAGUGUUUGUGGGGCAAACGCCACUAAAGAACAUGACCUUUAGCGGCGCUUUCUCCACAAACGUAACUAAAUGUCAUGUUCUUUAGUGUCGUUUUUAGUAAAAGCGCCGCUAAAAUUCAUGUUCUUUGGCGACAUUUGUGGAAAAAUGCUACUAACUUUAGCAGAUUUUUACCAACCCAUUUUCAUUCAUAUAGAAUCCUAAUUGUUAACAUAAUUUCCUGUAACAUCAAAUCCAACCAAAAACUAAAAAUUUAAAUGAUACUUCAAUUCCAACGAAAGAAAUAUGUAUGUGAUCUAAAUCAGUAAAUGAAAUAACAAAAUAUAUUAUAUUCAAAAGUUAUAUUGUUAAAAUAUUCUCACAAUAAGAAAACAAACAUCUAAGAUGAUGGAUUCUACGACUGUUGAAACAUCUUCAUCAUAUUCUGAAGCUGUAGCUGGAGUUUGUCAUAUUUUUUGCUUGCCCCUGCUUCCCUUGCUGCCGCCUCCGCUUUAAGUUAUAGUUGGAGUUUUUCAUAUUUUCUUUAAGUCUUUGCUUUUCUCGAUGCUGCCUCCACUUUAAAUUGAGCAAUUUGCUCAACUGUGCUCGCUUGCAUUUGAACCAUCUGGUCUCUUAACCUCUGAACUUCAGCUUGAGCCUGAUUCUCUGAAGGCAUGUAUUGUUGCGAACUGGAUCCAAAAUAUUGGGUUGGGUUAACAAAAUAUCCUUGAAAUCAAACCCGACCAUACUUUUCGAGACCCAAAACUUCGGUAAUAAUUCAGUUAUCAAUGUCAUCAAUAUUAACAGAACUAUCACUUGAAGCGAUCGCUUCAUACUCUGCCCUUUUAUCCUUUAGUUUCUCCUAAUAAAUCAACCAAAGAGUUAGAAACGAAAUAUAUAAUCAAAACAAAUGCAAUAUAACUUUGGGAGUCUAAUGUAUGCUCAAGUAUGUAUGUGUCCGGAUAUUGUGUACAUUGUUUGGCUGUUAGGCAAACAUUUAAGCAACUCUAGUAUAGGCCAUUGGAUAACAAUCGAAAGGGUUAUGAGGUAUCUUUAGAGAACAAAAUAUUACAUGCUCACAUAUUGGAUGUUUGAUAAGUUAAAGAACAUCAAGUAUACAGACUCCAAUUUUGAUGGAAUAUUGAUGCAAAAUUUUGCCACUAUAGUGCAAAUUGUGACAAUAAUUAGUAGUCUUUUAUUCCAAUAACAAUAUAAGCACAUCAAAGUCAAAACACAUAGACUUUAAGUUCAUGGUUGUUAAAAUAAAAGUUCAGGGUGGUUAGAUGUCUAUAAAGUAUAUUGAGACAAACUUCAUGAUUACAGAUUCGCUUACUAAGGGAUUACCACCCAAAGUUUUUUUCAUGAGCACACUGUUGAUACAGGUGUAAUGUCAUUUAAGGAUAUUUGACUUUAGUGGGAGUUUGUAUUUUUAAAUUUUUUUAUGUUACAGACACAUCGGUUAUCUCAGUUUACGAAUAUUAAGUUUAUUUUCUUUAGAAAUAAAGUUUAUUUGGUAAAGUUUGACCUCACUAAGGUUAAGGAGGACCAUUUAGAAUAGGCAUGUUUGAAUCAUAUUGCAUGUAAUUUUCAUGUUACACAUCCAUACUUGAUCUAUGUCAUUUGGUUGUGCUAAUAUAUGUUAUUAGGGAUGGAUUUAGUUAUGAUAUAUGUAACAAAAGUCACAUUCGUUCUAUGUUAACUUAAUUAAUGAAUGAGAUUAUUUGGAAUACCUUUUGGAUAUGAUAGUAAAGUUUUGAGCUCAUAAAUUUAUAUAAUGACAUGUAAUUAUAAGGUAAUUGGUAUAUAUAUGUGGCCAAGUGGUAUGGACAUCACAUAUAUAAUAAGCCUAAUUACUCCAAAAUCCUUGCAGCCCUUUAAUGACUUUUAAGCAAUCAUAACCAUUUUAUUUACAGGUCAUUUGUAUGAAGGAACUUUGUGGUCAUGAUCGAGAGAUUCGAAUUUAGCAUAUUUACAGAGAAGGAAAUCUUGUUUCAGAUUUCUUGGCCCAUAUGGGAUUCCGGCUUUGAUCUAAGUUUACUACGAGAGCCACCUGGAAAUGCUCUCUCAAUUUCAACUAUACUAUGUGAUGAUAUUGCUAGUUCUUUGCCCUAUCGCCUGUGCUCAUUUGUGGUUAAUUAGUUUGUAAUAACCCAAAUUUGCCCAGGCUUACAACCCAAAAAUAAACAGAAAUAAAACCCAAAAAUAAAUAACAAGGCCCAAAUAAUAAUAGCCCACAAAACUUAAAAAAAAUCCAGCCAACUGAAACCCUAAUGCCCUCAUAUACGCCGCACCUCCUCCUCGGACACACUGCUCGUACCUCGUCCCAAGGUCUGACUCUUCCCAUAACAGCCCAAUUUUCAAUGAUAUCAGAAACAAUGAUUUUGGAUCACUAAAUCUGAUAAGUAAGCUUGAAAAUUUAAUAAUUAAUAAUUACGGGUCAAGUGUGAAUUUAGAAGAAUUUUUGAAUUAGUGAAUUUUGUUAUUUAAAAAGAAUUUAAUAGGUAAAUCGGGUCUAAAAUGAGGUAUCGAGACCUCGAAUCCAUAAGUCAACACAUAAAUAUUUUUAUAAAUAUUUAUGGAGUGCCAUUGAGUUAGUAUUAAAGUUUCAUCAGAAAAUUUUAACGUUUUGAUAGUCAAUUAAUUAAAAAGGACUAAAUAGAAAAGAUGCAAAACUUGCUAAAGUGAUUAAAUAGCCUAAAAAUUAAAUAAGGAAGGCCUAAAAGAUAAAAUGGACCAAUUUAAGUGGCUGAGGUGGCAUACGGUUAAAAAAAUUAAAGAUUUUUAUGUAUUUAAGGGCAAAAUUGGAAUUACAAUAAAGUUUAUGUGGCCAAAAUUUAUUUUAAGGAUUUCAAGACCAUUUCUUCUUGAAAUUUCGGUGUAAAACAGCCAUGGAAGAGGAUUGAGAGCUGAUAUUUUAUAUUUUAGCUUCAAGUUCAAUUCUUGUUUUUCCCUUGAAAUUUUUAUAUUUUUGGACUUUUACAAUUAGGUCCAACUUAGUAUUCUAUUAGUUUUUUAUUUUGUUGAAAGUUUUGGAAGAUACCAUUGAUAAGUUCAUAUGAUUUUUAUUAUUUGGUGAUGAAAUUGAGAUGUUAAUGGAUGUUUAAAGGUGUUUUAUUAAAUAAUUUUGGAUGAAAAUAUGUUUUAGGGAUUAAAUUGAAAAGUAUUGAAUUUGUGGAAAAUUCUAAAAUUUUAAGAAAUCCAUGGGCUUUCAUUGACAUGUAUGCGAAUGAUUAGGCUUGUAUCAAUGAUUAAAUUGAAAUAAUUUCAUUUUCCGAGCCUAGGGAUGAAAUCGUCAUGUAUUAAAAGUUUAGGGUCAAAAUGGUAAUCAAUAUAUUGCACUAAAAUAGUUUUGGGUAGUAGUAGUGUGCCAACUUUGAAAAAUCACCAAAAACUGUGGGAAUCGAAUUAGAAGAUGAGUAAAAGAUGAAAUUAAAGCUUAUUGUGUCUAGUUUCUCAUAGAAGAAACAGUGUAAGCAAUGGAAUUAUAAAUCAUGAGAUAUAAUAAAUUUUGUGAGACAGAGUCAGAAUAAUUUUGGAAUCCCCUGUUCUAAUUUUGGAAAAUCAUUAAAAAUUGUAUAAAAAUAAUUAUGAGUUAUAGUUUAUAUGUUUAAAAUCCUGAAAGAGUUUAUUUUCAAGAGAAACAAACAAGAACAUCACCCAAACUCUGUACAAUGAGAUAAUUACUUUUUGGUGAAGAGAGGUCAGAACUGUCAAACAGUGAAACAGGGGAGAAUUUAAAGAAUAAACUGUAUUUAUUGGCUAAGCCAAAAAUUCUAAAAAUUUUAUGGUAAAAUGAUAUAUGAGACUAGUUUCUGGAAAAAUUAACAAAUCUUAAUUUAGAGCUUCGUAGCUCGAGAUAUAAAUAAUUUAGUGACUCUGACUCGGAUAGACAACUUUGAAUUUAUGUAUAAGUAAAUCGUGAAAAUAUAGUUAAUGUUAUUUAAGCAUGUUAUAUACAUUAAGGAUGUGGAAUGGAGAGGAGGAGGAGGAAAAUUGGAAAAUAUAUGAAUGACUUGUGUAUGAAUUGGUCAUAUGCCUGAUUAUAAUCGAUAAACGUUGAAUUUGAAAUGAUAUAAUGUUUUAUUUCAAAUAGUUAUUAUGAAAUUAUGAUUAUCAUUAUGUUACAAAAUUUAAUUGUAAGUUCAUAUGGCAGAAUUUUAAUGAUUAAUUGUUAAUUUCAUAAUUAUAUAAUAUAUGAUGGGAUAUAAUUGUUGAUGAAUUGAGAAUAAAAUAACAAUGCGAAAAUCGAAUAAAUGAUCAAAUUUAGUGGAACGUCGGAUUUGAGUACUUCUGAUCAGUGACAAGUGAUAUAUGAUUUCCGUGUAAGACCAUAUUUGGGAUAUGGCAUCGUUGUGACAUGUGUUUCCGUGUAAGACCAUAGCUCGGCUAUGGCUUCGGUGUGUGAUAUGUAACGAUGUGCAAUACCAUAGCUAUACUAUGGCAAUGUGGAAACAAAGUACUCAAUUCCAUAAGACGUUCUCUAAUUUAUCAAAUUGUGGUAAGUGUUAAGCAAAUUUUAUGUGAUAAAACAUAUUGAACAGUGAAAUUGAGCUGAAUUAUGUGAUCUCAUCAUUCAGAGAUUGUGUUUGAUAGGUUAUGUUAAUAAAUUAUGUGUAUGUGAAUUUAAGUGACAGAAAUUAAACAGCUAAUGAUAUUGAGCUCAUUUACAUGAAUCUGUCAUUUGAAAUUGUGAUUGACAGAAAGAAAUAGUGAAUUGAAUAUGAAAAUGUGAAUAGAAAGCACAAACUAAAUGUUCUUGCGAUAAAUAAUGGCUCAAUGUGAUAGUAAAUGAUGUUAAUCUAAUGAAAGUUAAAUUGAAUUGUAAAUGACUUGAAUUAUCCGAAAAUGUUCUAUAAUCUCUGGUAAUGUCUCGGAACCCUAUUUCGGUGACAGAUACGGGUAAGGGGUGUUACACUUCCCCUGGCCACCUUGCCUAGCCUUGUAAAACAAAAUAGAAGAAGAAGAUAGAAGCGAAAAUAGCAGGGGAUAGCAGAAAAUAGUAGCAUAAUCGGCUGUAAAAGCCCCAAUGAAAUGUAAUUUAUUUUUUUUCUACGGAUAAUCAAAUAUUAAGAGAACAAAAUAUCAAUCGAAAAUCCUGAAGGUUUACUUCUACUGUUGUUUUAAGUUUUGGUUCAUUUUUAUUCUGCCUUUUAUUUUUCAUUUUUUUACAUACAAAGAAAGGAAAAAGAAACAGAAAUAAAAUACCAUAGUUUUAAAACAACAAAGGAAUUUCUUUGCAUAUUUAUCGAAAAUAGAGCAUAUAUACAUAGAUAUAUUCAAAAAAACACAAGUUUUUUUAACCUCUGUUGUGACUGAAGAAGGUGGAACCAAAUGGUUUUUUUUCGCCUUUUCUGAAUUUCAAAGGGGUUUCUUAGGAUUUUAACCUCGGAUUGAGAUUUGGGAGGCCGAAUAGGUCGAAAAGGGGCCUUUUUUUGAACUCCGGUCGACGUAUACGGCGGCAUACGGUGGUGGAUGACGGUGGACGGACGGUUGCCCAGUGACUAGGGUACAGCUAGACCACGACCGGAGGAAAAGGGAUUGAGAGAGAAUCCCCUGAUUUUUUUUGGAAAAAGAAGAAAAUGAAAUUUUUAAAAAAAAAUUGACUUAACUAGGGCCCCUAAACGGCGCCAUUUAGGGCUGGUCAUAAUAGCCCUAAAACGAUGUCGUUUUGCCCAAGACCCGCGCAUGUGACCCGACCCGCCAGAGGAUCCGCGUGUUUUUAACUUUUGGGCUAUUUGCGCUUUAGGCCCUUCAUCAUUUUUGGUCUAUUUCAAUUUAGUCCUUUUGCAUUUUUUCUUUAUUUUUUAAUUUAGACCACAGAUUUGUCUCGGUUUUCAAUUUGGUCCUCAAUUCGUUGGACCCCUGGGGAGGAGAUGCGUGGCCUGGAAAACUGGUUUAUUACCCAUUUGGCCCUCCUCCCUCUCGCGCUCUUUCAUUUUGGUCUUUCUUUAUUCAUUUUAUUAUAGCUUUGACCUUUAAAUUUCAUUUUUAUCCCGAGUUAGUCCAUCUUUGUUAUUUUUGUUAUAUUAUUAAUUAAUCUAAUUAUUAUCAUACUUAUAUUUUCUUUUUAUAUUUACUUAUUAUAUUAUUAUAUUAUACUAUUAGUUUUGUAUUAUUAUUAUUAUUAUAUUAUUAUUAUAUUUAUAUUUAUAUUUACUUAUCUAAAUUUUAAAUAUAUUUUGUCUUAGUAUAUAUUAUUAUGUAAUUACUUAUAUCUUUUGUAUUUUUUUAACUCUAGAUUAUUCGCUAUUCUAUUAUUAAUAUUAUUAUUGUUAUUAUUUACUUAUUUAUAUCCUUUUUAUUUCAAACUUUGUUAUAUAUAUACAUACAUACAUAUAUUAUUUUUUAUAUUUUUAUAAUCUUAUUUAUUUUCAUUAUUGUUAUUAUUGUUUUACUUGAUAUUUAUUUAUUUAUGUGUCCAUUAUUAUUUUAAGAAACAUUUUAGUUCUGUUUGUUUAUUUACUUGUUAUUUUAUGUAUAAUUGAUUUGUCCCCUUUUUUUAUUUAUUUAUCUUAUUUUCGUUGUUGUUGCUCGUAUUAUUUAUGCUUACAUCAUUGUAUUUAUUAUUGUUUUGUUACGCAUAUUAACCCCGUGUUUUAUUUCUACCAUUUCGUGUUAGAUUAAUCUCAUUUGAUGCAUAAAUCAUGACUUUAAAACAAGUAAAACUAGAUAUUUUGAGAUCCGAAAAGGUCGUGCCCUAACUUACGGGGCUUUGAUUUUCUCGAUAAAUUCAAAUACACGAAUCUUUUCAAACAUAAGUUUUUUAAGUGAUCUCGGGAAUUAAUAAAAGAUCGGGUUCUAACUUACGGGACUUGAUUUCUUUUCCAAACCCGAGAUAAUCAAAUCGAAUAUCCUUCAAAUAAAUAAAGCUUUUGGCAUUUAUUCUCGAAUCAAGUAUUUAAAUAUAUUGUGUCCUAACUUACGGGAUAUAAUUCUCUUUCUCGAUUAACGCGAAAUAUGCCCUUUUCUUGAAAACUUUCAGCAUUUUAACAAAGGAUUGUAUUUUGAAUCUUUUCAAAGUUUCCAAUUCUCGACACUAAGACACUAAUUAAUCAACCAGGUACCAAUUUCUAGGCGUUAUGAGGGUGCUAACCCUUCCUCGUAUGUAACCGACUCCCGAACCCAUCUUUCUGAAUUUCGUAGACCAAAAGCGUUGUUUUAAUAAAUCGAACCGUUUUGUUAAAAAUAACCAUUUUUUGAGUUGACCUGAUCACACCUCCUCAAAAAAGGAUUGGUGGCGACUCCCAUAUUCAUUUUCGUUUUAAAAAUCCAAGUCGACCUCUUUUAUCAAAAAAUGGUUUCGACAUAGUUGUUAAGGCUUUUGCCUCUUUCUUUUAUUAAAAAAAAAAGCUGGGCACGAUGAAUCGACCUUAGCUAGUAAAAAACUUCAAUCACCGAAUUGCAUAAAAUUCUAACUUAAAUUCAAAUGCAGAAGCAGGAUCGUUUAUCAAUCCACAAUAUCAACAAAUCUCAAUUCAAACACAAAAUUAACCGGUGAAAAAAAAUAGUUCAACCCAUAAACAUUUACCACAAAGGGAAAUUUGAAACACUUACCACCAUUCCCCUAUCAGAAAGUCUUACCCACAUUCAACAACUAGAAAUCAGAGCUCACCAAAAUGUUUAUGACGAAGCCAUUUUUUUGAAAAGGGUCGACUUUUUAUUUAAAAACGAAAAAGGGAGUCACCACUAAUCAUUUUUAUGAGGUGUGAUCGGGUCACCUCGUAACGGUUUAAUUGAUUAAAAUAAAAAUUUUGGUCUACAAAAUUUAGAAAAAUGGGUUCAGGAGUUGGUUACGUACGAGGAAGGAUUAGCACCCUCGUAACGCCCAAAAUUGGUACCUAAUUGAUUAAUUAAUGUCUUAAUGUUGAAAAUUAAAAACUUGAAAAGAAUUUAAAAUACGAUCCCUCUUUAUUAAUGUUAUUUUUUAGUUAAAAUUUCUUGGAUAAAUCAAAAUGUGUGCUUAAGACUUUCUCGUCCCAAAGUAGCAAAAAUAUUAUGUCCCGUAAGUUAGGACACAACACUUUGAACUUUGGAGAAUGAACUUGCCUUUAUUUUUUAUUUUAAAUCUUAUUAUUUUGAUUUUAAAAGGAUAUUCGGUUAUUUGAGUUCAACGAGAGAAUCGAAACCCCGUAAGUUAGGUACGAUUUCCUGAAUCUCCAAAAUAUGAAUUAUUGCCUAUUCUUUUGAAAAUUUUCCAUUUUUAUGAAAUUGGAUGAAAAUUAAUGAUAUUUAAAAUGAUAUGCAAUAUAAAAUAAAAUAUUAUAAUAACCAUGACGUAAUUACAAAGAUGAAUGCAAUAUUGUUUGGUGGAAAAUGUUUUCCGAAAAAUAUUUUCUGAAUUUUCCAGCGUUUGUUUGGUGGAAAAUGAAUUCCUAAAGUAAAACAUUUUCCAAACACGGGUAAAAUUAGUCCCCAAUUUUUGGAAAACGUCUUACUAAUUUGGAAUCAGUAAGAAAUUUUCCCGUUCUCCCUUCUCUACACUCUCGUUCUCCCUGCCUCUCUAAACCAAUCUUAGGGCUCAUUGAGCUGGUUCCGGGCUAUUUUUCCCCCUUGAUUUCUUCUCCUUUUUAUAAAUUAAUUUGGGGCUUUUCAUCACUGUGUGUUGUUUUUGUCUGGGAUCUCUUGCAUGGGUUUUCUGCUAGUUUGGGUUCUCUGUGCUCAGGCUUUCUACAAAUUCUGCUCUUCCUCUCUUGCUUGGGUCGGGUUUUUGUUACCGUUUUGUAGCCUGUGGCGUUUGGCUUGUCUUGGGCAAACUUUCUUCGCUGACUUUCUUUAGAAAGGUAUAUUUUCUAUUUUCACUUCCAUUUUCUACUUAUUUUUUAGACGCAAAAUUUCUUAGCAAUUCUUUUAUCUUGAACAAACAAUGUUUUGAGGUUUUGGGUCGUUUCAUAAAGUAGAAAAGGAAUCGAACUGUUAAUAUUCUUAAGAUUGAGAAAUUGAGGACACGUUUGGUUCGCUGUAAUGGAAUAGAGGCGUAAUAGUAAUUCAACUGUUUGGUCGAAUGGAAUGGAAUAGAGCUAUAAUAGUAUUCUUGUGUUUGGUUGAAUGGAAUUAUGUUGUAAUAGCAUAAGGAAAAAAACUAAAAUGAGUAUACCCUUAGCAGAAUUUUUUUAGGUAGAUGAUUAUUAUUAUUCUUAUUAAAUUUUAAUAAGAUUAUUAAUAUAAAUAAUAAAUAAUAUAAUCAUAUUUAACAUAAUUAUUAUUAAAUAUAAUUUAAUAAAAAAUAUAUAAUUUAAUAAAAUUCUUAAUAUAAUUAUUCUUAUAUUAAUUUCCUAAAAUCAUAAUAUAUAAUAAUCACUACACCAAAACAGGUUUUUAGCGGCGUUUGGAUAAAAAACGUCGCUAAAAAUUGAGCAUUAGCUGCGAUUUACGUCAAACGCAGCUAAAGAUCGAGCAUUAGUGGCGCUUCCAAGAAAGCGCCUCAAAAAAUGAGCAUUAGCGGCGUUUAUCCAAAAAACGCCGCAAAAAACGUAAACCCAACGGCAUCGUUUUUGACCUUUCGGGGCUUUAGCGGCGCUUUUUCAAAAGCGCCGCUAAUACUCGGGUCUUUAGCAGUGCUUUUCCCAAAAUGCCGCUAAUGCUCUAGUCUUUAGCGGCGCUUUUUCAGAAGUGCCGCUAAUGCUCGGGUCUUUAGCGGCGCUUUGUCAAAAAUGCCGCCAAAGCUCGGGUCUUUAGCAGCGCUUUUUCAAAAAUGCCGCUAAUGCUCGUGUCUUUAGCGGCGCUUAAUCCCAAAUUGAUCCUCCAUACCAAAAUGAGUGGAAAUGAGUUUAAAAGAUGUCCAAAACAUUAACAUUUAAACAUUUGUUAAGAAAUUUUCUUUUGUUUUCAAUAUAAAUGGCUUAAAAAAUGAAAAAAAAGUCUUAAACUUUGUUUGAUUAAAAAUUUUCGUAUAUAAAAAGGAACAUAUUUAAAUUUAUGUGGAUGGUUUUUAUUUAGUUUCAUUAAUAUAGGGAGAUUAAAGAUUGGUGGAGAUUUUACCUAACAAAUUAUUAUAGAAAGAGAGAAGAUGGAUUUAACACCUUUUGAGAAUCCAUUCCCCAAUGAGUUGUAUGGUGUAUCAAUUACGCAUGUAUGAAUAUAUUUUCCUUCCACCAUGUGCUGCCACGAAACUUAGGGCCAAUAUUGUGGAUUCCCGGAGAAUUAGAAGAUAAAAGAAAACCUAUAGGAGAUUCUUGUAAGAGUUACUGGUUUAAGAUUGGUUUUGGAUUUUGUAGGAAAGAUAUGCUGCAUCAAUUACACAUGGGGAUUUAAUACAAGUUGGAUCAUUUUCCUCAUCAGCUAACAUUUUCUUAUGCUAGUUUAGAUCCAAAUCCACACACCCAAUUUUGAUUUGCGCUUCCAUCAAACUAAUUCUUUUUACUGUGAAAAACAUAUUAUUUCAGUAAUAAAUGUUGAAUCAACAUUAUUUUAAUAAUAAAUUAUUUUAUUCCUUUUACUAUAGUAUUUUUUUCCCAUCAUGUUGAUUUAGGUAUAGUUUGGAUAGACAUUGCGUUUACUUGUGUUUAGUAUAAAAACAACAGUGACGAUAAAAUUAGAUAAAAGUGAACUAAUCGCACCGCACUGGCCAUCCAAAUCCAAGUACCAUACUCUUCUUUUAGUUUUUUUUAAACCCUAAAUAAGAAAGACAACCUCAUUUAGCGAAGUCAUUAACCCCUUUCUUAAAUUUCCAUAAUAAAACUCAUACCCUAUUCAAAAACCCUAUUUUAACAAAAUUCAACUAUCUUUGAAUUAUUCGUAACCCUAUAUUUAUAAUACAGACGUGGUGAUCAGUUAGACCUUUAAUUACUUAACAUACUUUUUUUUUAUUGACUAACAUCUCUUGUUUUUAUUGACUCCUUUAAUUUUAAUUUAAUAAUUUUAUAAUUUAAUCUAAAGAGGUCAAAUUCGAAUUAUUUUUUUGAUAUAAUUUUUAAUUUAACAAGAGCUGAAUCAUACUUUAUAGGAUUUGAACCUUGGACGAUAGGUUUGAAGACCCACAUGCUACCGAACUAAACUAAUAUCACUUUCUUAUCAUAAUAAAUAAAAUUGUAAAAAAAAUCCUUUUAUUUUAUAACCCUAAUACAAUACAUUGUAUGUCGUAUAUAUAUAAUAUGAGAAAAUGAUAGAUUGAGCAAAAUUGCAUCAUAGGUUGUGUUCAAAAUUCAAAUUCUUUUUGGUUUAGAGGGUUUUAUGUUUGGUUAGUGAUAAGUUUUUUUUCUUUCGCAUGUGAUUUAUCUUUUCGAUAUGUAGGGUGAAGGAUUUAAAUUGUGGAAUGUUUGGUUUAUAUAAGCAGCUUAAGGUAAGAAAAGAAAAGCAAGAUAAAAUUUGAAAGAUGAUCCCAUUGUUGACUGAUUCAUUUACUGCGAGCUUCUCCCUCAUAUUGUAGCGACACUGAUGUACAAAAUAUUUCAAAGAUGUACAAAUUUUUCGAGUUUAAAAACUACAUUGAGUGUAUUUUCGUAGGAGUUCAGUUGAUUUAAAAACUACAUUAAAUGGUUUAGGAUUUAAGGUUUACUUCAGAUUUGUUAAAUGAUGAAAUUUUAUACAAUAAAUUAAUACUUUUAUAUUUAAAAAUAUUUAAUCUAAAAUAUUCGAUAUAUUUAAAUAUUAGAUUUAAAAAAAUUGAUAAAUAAAUAAAGUCACUUAACUAAUAAUUUUUGGUAGAUAAAAUAAAAAAUUUUUAACAGAGCAAAACGACGUUAUUUUAUCAAUAGAUAAGCAAUAAUGGCGUUUUUUGUAAAAACGCCACAAAAUUUAUUUUACUUAGAAAAAAAUUUGGCGCUGAUUUUUCCCAAAUUUUCCCCCUAAAACCCCUAACUUUGCAAACAAAAUGAAAAAAAGAAGAGGAAAAUGAAGGUACCAAAGACGAUUCAGCACAAAACCUCUCCAAUCUACUUACGAGUUCUACCGUUUGUUUCCCUGGAAAAUAUAUGAGACUUAAUAUUUUCUGUUCCAUUUUUCCUCUUUAUUUUCUAAUUUUGGGUAUUAUUUACUCAGAUCCCCUUUCUUUUUAUUAUUGUUUUUUUUUUCUCUUAUAUUUUAGCUAGAAAUCGACGAUGCAAGUUACUGCUGGUAACAAGUUAUUGCUUAAAAUUCAUCGUAACAAAUCUACUUCAAAGGAAGUUAUUCAUAUUCCUUCGUAUCGAAGCGAAGUUAUUUACGGUGGAACUUGGUUCUCCAGCUCUCGUAAGUUUGUUCCCAGUUUUGUAUUUGCCAUCUAUACCAGGUUUACCUCUCUUACUUCUCUUCGUCUUCAUCUCCCUUUCAUUUAUUCUACCAAAAACGCCUCUUACUUGUCAUUUUUUUCUCACAUAUCGUGCAAGACUCAUUUUUCUUUCUUUAUGCUCUAGUCUUAACAGUGCACUUCAACUGUUCAAUAUAAUGCUUCUUUAUACAAUUUGUUUCUGGUUUUCAGGGGGUGUUGUUUGUAAGAUGUUGAAGCAAGCGAUAUGGAAGGUGUUGAGCAAAAGGGUAGUUUCAGAUUCUGGUGAUAAACUUCUUUUGCCUUGUUUGUACUUGCCCACGACUUCUUUUCACGCUGGACAGGUAGGUACUCUUUUUUUUUCUUUUAACUCUUACUUUAGUUUUUUUUAUGGAUACCCAAUUGUUAAUUUAUUAAAUAAUAAAUCUUUAAUAAUAAACCUAAAUUUAUGGCAUUUGAAUUAUUUGUAGAAUUUGAAUCAUAAAAACAUUGUCAAGUAUCUUGGAUCAUUGAAGACAACAAGAAGUUAGGUUUUGUAGUCUCUGUCUGGAAUUCUUGCUCUGAAGUUUGUCUAUUUUAUACGAGUUGAGUUUUCAUGGUUUGCUGUUGCAUUGUUUCUUCUGUUCUUUGUUUUGUUAUUGGAACUAUUUCCAAUUGUCUGGUUUACUUGAAAUCCGAUAUUUGAUUAAAGGGACCAAGUAGAGAGCACAAGUGAGAGCGAAGGCAGUGCAAGUGAUGAAGUGCUUGUUGUUCCUUAUGAUAACUUAGCACCUAUUUCUUGUGGUAAUAUUUUCUCAUUAUUCUUCUACUUUUGAAUUUAUUGUAUUCCAAAUAUAGCAUCAAGAAAAAUAUAAUAGUACAUUAGAGUUCAGCUUGUAUAAUUUGUUUGGAUUCUUUCUGUCUUGAAGCAGAUAUUACUGAAUCUAAGCAGCUUUUAGAUAAGCUUGUUGUGGUGAAGUAUAAUAGAGCUUUGGGAAAGAAUAUGGGUUUCGUUGGUCCCAAGUAAGCAAUUAUCUAACUUCUGGAAGUUUGAUACUUAUUUUUUUCCAAGAAAAGAGAAGCAUUUCUUGAUGAUUCCAUAGUUAUAUAUUAAAGACUUGCCUCUACAUAAAUGAAUAUAGUUUCUAUGACAUACAUAUAUUUAUGUAUGCUUUUUAUAUAUGCCUCUACAUUCAUAUAUUUAUAUAUGCUUUUUAUAUUGUAUUGUGCCAAAUAAAGAGAAUAAAAGUUUUAAUUAUUGAUAGAUUCUGCUACUUUUUUUAUGUACUUUUUAUUAAAUCACUCUUUAAUCAAAUGUAGAAUUAUAAAAUUAUUAAAUUUUACUAUAAAUAAUUAUCCUUAUAUAAUUAAUUAUUUUAGUAAAUUUUCCAACUAUCAAAACAGAUCACUCCACCAUCCCACGUCAAAAUUUUGUUAAGGGUAGGAGUUGAGAGAGGUAGAUACUUUGAUGAAUAUUUUCUUUUACAUGAUAAUUAUAUACUUCUUUAAGUUUGUUUUGGAUGUUGGGACAAUGUCAGUUGAUGCCGAAAUUUGAUAGUGCUGCAAAUUGAAGUGUUUAAGUGCUGCAAAUUGAAGUAUUUAGUUGCUGCAAAUUGAGAUGUUUUAUCGCUGUAAUUGAGGUGUAUAAAUGUUGUUAAUUGAUAUGUUUAAGUGCUGCAAAUUGAAGUGUUUAAAUGCUGUAAAUUGAAGUGUUUAAGUGCUGCAAAUUGAAGUGUUUAGUUGCUGGAAAUUGAGAUGUUUUAUUGCUGUAAUUGAGGUGUAUAAAUGUUGUUAAUUGAUAUGUUUAAGUGCUGCAAAUUUAAGUGUUUAAAUGCUGUAAAUUGAAGUGUUUAAGUGCUGCAAAUUGAAGUGUUUAAAUGCUGUAAAUUGAAGUCUUUAAGUGCUGCAAAUUGAAGUAUUUAGUUGCUGGAAAUUGAGAUGUUUUAUCGCUGUAAUUGAGGUGUAUAAAUGUUGUUAAUUGAUAUGUUUAAGUGCUGCAAAUUGAAGUGUUUAAGUGCUGCAAAUUGAAGUGUUUAGUUGCUGCAAAUUGAGAUGUUUAACGCUGUAAAUUGAAGUGUUAAAGUGCUACUUUCCAUUGUCACCUCCCCCAUUUCUUUAUGCAUCAAUAACUAUAUUAAUGAAAUCAAGUACUACAAUUAUAUACUAUUGCAGAUGGGGGUUGGAGAAUAUGAUCAAGGGGAAAACAUCAGAUAUGGUGAUUCCUAGCCAAGCAGUGGCUUCUUAGACACCCAACAUUUUGCACAACCAAACAUGACCACAACUUUUAAACCUACAUGUUGAGGUUGCUACACACAAGUCCCUUCCUUUUUUUAGUUUAUGUGCUAUGUGAUGAUUGUGUUUUAAAAUUUAACUUGUUUUAGUUCCUUACAUUCUUAUACGAUUCACACUCAAGGAGCUAGAUUUGGAGCUUAAACUGUCACUGUAAUCAGUAAUUUUUUUUUUGCUUCUUUAAAUGCAUGCUCAUGGAACUACAUCUUAUGCUUUCCUAGAAUUGUAAGUUCAAAUAAGGUGUUGAUCUGCAAUUUAUACAUACAACUUGAGCAAGUUGAUAUGAACUAGUUUCAAUUUUUUUUUUUAAAUGAAAGGAAUGUUAUGUAAUCAAAGGCAAUUUGACUUGUUGCAUGAGAUAUAGUGAAAAACAUUUAUCUUCUUAUUCAUGAAUUUCCAUUUUAAUACGUCUUCAAAUUAAAUUAUACAUUUUUUAAUUGGUAGAAUCUCACUUUUGCUGUUGCUGCAAUCUUUAACCAAAGAAUGGAGUGAUGUAUGUACUGAUAACAGUUCUAAAGGAUUUGUUUAAGCAAGUAAAGAGAUUGGCGUUUUUAUAAUAAUUUAGGAUAGGAAUGGAGCAAAUCCAAAGAAUGGAGUGGCAUUUUUAUAAUAAAUUUUUUUAUUUUUCGUGACCUUUACUAGCGUUUUUGGAGAAAGCGCCGCUAAAGGUCUUGUUUUUUAGCGGCAUUUUUGGGAAAAGUGCCGCUAAAGGUCUUAGUCUUUAGCGGUGUUUGUGGUAAAAGCGCCACUAAAGGUCUUGGUCUUUAGUAGUUUUUGUGGGAAAAGUGUCGCUAAAGGUCCUGGUUUUUAGCGGCGUUUGUGGGAAAAGCGUCGCUAAAGGUCUUGGUCUUUAGUGGCGUUUGGGGGAAAAGCGCUGCUAAAGGUCUUAGUCUUUAGCGGUGUUUGUGGGAAAAGCGCCGCUAAAGGUCUUGGUCUUUAGCGGCGUUUGGGGGAAAGCACCGCUAAAGGUCCUGGUUUUGAGCGGCGUUUGUGGGAGAAGUGCCGCUAAAGGUCAUGGUCUUUAGCUGCGUUUUUUCCGGCUAAAAAAGUGCCGCUAAAAGCCUGUUUUGGUGUAGUGAAUAUAAAAAUAAUAUAUAAUCUCAUUUAUUAUUUUUAAAUCGCAAUACAUAUUUAAUGUGCUAAAAUAUCAUUAGUGAAUCAAAUAAUUUAAUUAUUCUACAAAAAAAUAGAAGUAAUAAAUAACUUGAAAAUUAUAUUUUGCAUAAAUAUAAUAUUCAAAUAUUAACAAACAUACCCUAAAUCAAAUUUCAUGUAUAAUUUUAAAAUUUACCCCAAAGAUUUAGUGUACUUCUUGACCUGAACUUGACAAUUAAGUUUAUUUUAGUACUUGUAUAUUUUUUGUCCACUUUAAUAAUUGAACUUGACAAUUAGAUAUAUUUUAAUCUUUGAACUUGAAAUAUAUAAAAUUUUAUUGACAUAACACUUUAAGAUUGUCUCACAUCAUUAAAUUUGGACGGAAUAUAAAUUCAUAGUCAAAAUAGACCUACUUGUAAAGUUAGAUACUAAAGUAGACCCCAACAACAUAUAUAAGUAUCAAAAUGAAACUAGCUUACAAAGCAAAACUUCGUAUAAAAGAAGAUAAACAAAUUGUGCUACUUGAAGGGAACAACACUGGCACUGGAAAAACAUUCCGUGUUUGAGGACAUAAAAUCUCUUAAGCACUGCGUCCAGGUUAUGAGCUACUCACAGCAACACAGAUCGCUGGGAAAUAGUGUGCCAAAUUACCUUUUGUAUCUCUUCUUGGAACCACAUGGACAGGGAGCAUUACGGCUCAUUUCUCCACUCUUUACCAUAUUAAACUUGGUAAGAUCCAAUGGUGUUAAACCCGUUAGCUUUUGCACCUGCAAAAGAUAAAAAAAAACUAAUGACAUUUCCAAUGGAGAAAGAGAGAGAUGCAUAAACUAAUACUUGUCAUUGAUGUUUUAAACUGUGGGAGAAACAUUCAUCCGAACUCAAAUGCGAAUUUCAGCAACUGAAGAUGAAUGAAGGCAGACAUCUCAGUCUUUUAAGCAAUCUGGCAUUGAACCAAAAAAGCAUAACGCAGAUCAGCAGACCAAACAUCUGUAACUCUAUGUUAGUUCGACUCUUUCUUUUCCUUUAUGCAUCCAUGUUUGAUGCAAGUCUGGGACCAGAAUGAAUAUAGGGAGAUAAUCCUUUAAAAAUCCUCCAAAUACAUUAAAAAACUUGGACAAAAAAUGAACACAACACACCCGUGUCAAACAUAUAUAUCAGACACUCAAACUAUAGUCUGAACAACAAGAUAUACAAUCAUCAUUUUGACUCAGAUAAUAUGCAUAACUAACUCCCCUACCUUCUUAGACAAAUAUCUUACUUAUCUUUCAAAUAGCUCAUCCUACAUUCAACAUCAUAUUCACCGAGCAGCAGCCAAAAGACAAAAAUACAUUAACUUAGAGAAUUUAAGAUCAGACAAAUUGAGCAAUAGGCAUAAAGACACUAGCUCAUACGUUUUAAUCAUUCAACAUAUUAUCAGCAAAAACAUAACUGAAAAAAACCAGUGGUGAACCUACCACAGCAAAGUUCUUUGGCAUCGGUUUGCCUUCCUCUUUCAGCUUAACCAUCUUCUUAUGAACUUCUUUAGCCCAUGUGAACUUCGCAAGCGCAUUCUCAACAUAUAAUAAGGUACAAUCACACUGUUUUGCAGCUUCUUUCUUUUGACUCAGUUGGAGAUUCUAAAAAAAAAGUCAAAAUCUAAAUCCACAAUCAGCGAAUUCACCUACAGGGCUCCAACCAUGUUUUAUAGUUUGGACGAGAAAAGGCAGCACCUUCUUACAUGCAAUGUCAGUGGUCAACAGGACUGGAAUGCUCGCCUGUUUAUCAUGGUGGAAAUCAAAUUCUUAUAUAAAACAUAGUUAACAUUUCUCAGCAUAAAGCCUUCAUCUUUUGUGCAAACAAAUUUUAAAUUAACAGAACUCAACUAGUCGAAAUCACAAGCCAUUCAAAAAACAAUAGAAUCAGACAAACAUGUAAUAGAAUAAAAAUUUUCAUCUGUUCAAUCUGUUCAAUCGAACAAACAUUGAAAACAUUGAAAGAAUUUUCAUCUGUUCAAUCGAACAUGCAAUACAAAGAAAAGCUGAAUGGAAAACGCUAGAAACGAAUCAAAAUUAGGAGAACAAAAACAAAUAUUCCAGAUUUGAGCAAAAGCAAAACUAAAUCGAUUUUACAGAAAAGAGAAGAAAAGAAAAACAGGGAAAGAGUGUGAGAAUUUUUCGUUGUUGAUAAAAUGGAGAAAAGAAAAAAAACGAGAGAAGAAAAGAAAUGUACGAGAAUAAAAGAAGCAGAAAUCGAUGGAAGGGAAAAAAUUACCUUGCAAAACGUCGGAGAGGAUGAGCGCAGAAAACGAAAAAGAUGGUAACAAAUUGGGAGGGAAUCCCUAUUCCGCGCUUAAACAUCAGAAUGGCUAUUACAGCCAACGUGGGUAAUAGAUGCGGAACGGAACCAAACAUCCGUUUGGUGGUGGGCCUAGGGAAUUGGGGGGAAUGCAUACCGAUUCCCCCCAACCAAACAUACCUUGAGUUUGUUCUCUUAAGAGGAAAUGGUAAUGAGGUGUAAAAGCCAAGAGGAAAUGAUUAUCUUUACCGCUAGAAAUGAACAAGGUAUGUUAUUCAUAUUUUUCUCCGGAUGCAGGUUUUAAUUGGGCAAUAGUUUUACUUUUGUUAUAGCUAGAGGUUUUACUUGUCAUGCAUCUUACUGCAUUUGGUUAGUUUUAUGUUUUAUUGUUUUAUCUUUCUGGCAUUUUAUAUUUAGUUCUCCUAUUUUUUUAGACAAUUUCUGCAACAUUGGUUUCCUAUGACGUGAUAGUAUUUUUUUGUUGUAGUAGUGAUAACAUUUGUGGUUGGCAAGAUUCCUUUAACACGGUUUAUCUGGAAAGGUCUAUCUUUGGGUUGCUGAUAGUGUCACCGAGUGAAAUAAAUGCUAGUUGUGGCUCUUAUGAUUACAAACUAUUAGCUUAUUGGUAAAUUGAAUGUUCAGAUGUCAUGACUGAUGUAAAUUCACAUACUUUUAAACAUUGUGCAUCUUCUAAUUUUAUGAAUUUUAACAACAAAAAGUUUUCUAUACAUAAUGAUUAUUUGAUUACUGUAUGUUUGAUCUUGGAUUUCUGUUGCUAAACAUGAAUUGGAAUAAAAUGAAUGCUAGUUGUUCAUUUGAAUAACAAGAAUGAAAUAAAUGCUAGUCAAGGCCUCUAAAAGACUAAUUUAGUAAUUUGGCUGAAUUGAACCCUUAUAUCAUUAGGGAAUAUAACAGAAGAACUACUAAUAGUUUGAAUAGAACAUAAUGAACUGAUUAAUAAUACAUUUAAGAGGUAUGUUAGUAGCUGCUAGUCUCUAGUUCCUUGAGAGUUUGGUUGUUCAGAGUGUCGUCUAGGAUUGUAUUCUGUGCUGUCCAUGCAAGUGUAAUAAGAUUGACUAAGGUCUUUUCCCUUUGAAAUUGUUGAUCACUCAAUUAAGCUCAGUUGACCGGCUAUCAUGUCCUUGCUCAAUUAAGCUCUGCCAUAACUGCACGAAAGAACAACAAUUCCAUACACUCAUUACAAAGAAUACAAGUAGUGGAGUUCACGGACUAGACAAUUAAAGAGAACUUUACACAUGUAACCAAAUUCACCAAUAUGAGCAUUGAUAUCUCAUUUUUAUGAGAUCUUAUUAGAUUAUUGAUUAUGAAUAUGUUUACUCGAUCAUUUCAAGAUCAUGGUUUCAUUACAUGGAGUUGUUUGAUGGUGAAGGCAAUAAUACAUUUUUAAGAUUACUGCAGCCAAAAGAGUUGUUGCAAAGGAGACCAAAGUCCAGAACUCUUUUUCUUUUGUGCUUCCACAACUGAGUUCUCCAUUACCUCAACUUUCAGCUUCAAAUCUUGAGCUACUUGUCUCUUUCUGUCAUUGAUUGUUACUUUUAUGUGGUCUAAUAUUAGUUAUGCACUUGGACAAUGUUGUUGUUAUUAUGUGGUGUACUACUAAUUAUGCAUUUGGAUAAUAUUAUUAAUUUCUAGUAUUAAUUGUGGUUUGGAAGCUAAUUUAUAAUUAUUCAAUCCUUAUUUUUUAUUUUUUAACACAAUUAUAAAUAAUUUAUUUGACUUUGGUUGUUUUCAAUUUAUGACGGUUAAUAUUGUAGCUUAAUAAUUGAGUAUUUUGAUUUAUUUAUUUAUAAAUAAAUCAUUUCAAUAUAUGUAAAAAUAAUUUAAAAUAUAAAAAUUUAUUAAUAUGUAUAUAAAUUUAUUAAUAUAUGUAAAAACAACUUUUUCGGAAAAUAUUUUCAGGAAAUCUACCAAACAACAAAAAAUAUUUUACACAGAUUCAUCCAAACACUAGAAAAUAUUUUCAGUAAAUCAUUUUCCAGAAAAGUAAAUCAUUUUCAGGAAAUCAUUUUUCGAAAAACAUUUUACUGGCAAACAAACGAACCCUUAUUGCUCAUGGUCAUCAACCUAUAAACCCAAGAGCAUUAUUAGCUUCUAAAUCCAAAACACUAAUAUCAGCAUCCAACCCAACAAUGAUAGUCUUAUUGACUCAUUUAAACAAGUUUCCUUUGUCAAUCUAUAUUCUGUAUUUGGUAAUCUCCAAUAUGAUUUCAGAACAUACGAUAGUUGGAAGAAGAAUAGCAGCAAAGAUGCAAAGGGAAAUGACUUAUACGAGGAGGAAGAACCAUCUUUUGGGUGCAAACCUGUAUACCAUAUAAUAGGAUGUCCUGUAUAAUGUCACGAGAGCUAGUACCGUUGCCAAGCAGUAAUUACUAAUGCUAAUAUGAUGAACAGAAAAGGAUCCAGCCGUAAGAUAGUAUGGAUACUGAAAUGCGAGUGUCCGUAUGGAAACAGCAACUAAAAGCAUGUAACAGGUCCCAAAACAGGUCCCAAACAAGGAAAGUGUUAUGAGAAUCACUACACCAAAAUAGGCUUUUAGCGGCGCUUUUUUAGGCCUUUAGCAGCGCUUUUUAGCGCCACUAGCGCCGCUAAAAACGCCGCUAAUGACAGUGUCGCUAACUUUAGCGGCGCUUUUUCCACAAACGCCACUAAAGACCAAGACCUUUAGCGGCGCUUUUACCACAAACAUCACUAAAGACCAAGACCUUUAGCGACGCUUUUCCCACAAACGCCGCUAAAAACCAUGACCUUUAGUGGCACUUUUACCACAAACGCCGCUAAAGACCAUAGCUUUUAGCGGCGCUUUUCAAACAAACGCCACUAAAAAUAUAUCUUUUAAAAAAAUUAAUUUUUUUCAAAUAAUAUUUAUUUCUAUAAUAAAUAUUAUAUUAUGUUUUAAGGAUAAAUAAAAAAUAUUAUUUAAAUUAAAUUUUCUACAAAAAUUUUAACUUUAAAACUAAAUAUAAAUAUAAAAAUUAAUGAAUUUAAAUUUAGAAUUUAAAAUAAUAAAUUAAUAACACAAUUAAAAUCCAAAAGUUAGAACACUUAAGUAAAAAUAAAAAUUUAGAAUCAAAACUAAAAUAAAUGAUACAUAUGCAAGGUAAUAAAAUAUACAAUGCAUUUUCUUAAUCAAGUAAAUCUUGGUUACAAAACUAACACAGAAAAUAACACAGUAUACAGUAUGUUUUGUCUUUCACAUUUUAAAAAUAAUAAUAAUAGCAUGUUUGUUUGCAUGCUACCAUGAUCAAAACACAAAAAUGAAGUUCUCCACCUAAUACAAAUUUCUCCUACGAAUGUGCAGAAUCAGAUCUCUAGAUUCUCGGAGUUCUUCAUCUGGUGCUGUCUCGAUGGUUUUGAUUAUUGUGUCAUCUAGCUGGAUUCAAAAAAAAGAAUAGAAUGCAAAGCAUGUUAUACAUUUGGACUCCAAAUUUUUAGCAACUCAAAAGAAUGCUAAGAAUGUUGUCCAACCUUCCAGUACUCACAAGGAUCUUGAAUAAAAAUGAAAUCAGACCUCACCACUUCAUAUAAGAAGCCUACACAACUAAUUACACAAAAGAAAAAGAUGAGAAAAAAUAACAAUGUAAAAAAGACGUUUGAAUGAGAUAAUAUAGAACCCAGAGUUAACUCUGUGAAUACCUUCACUUUAGAGUGGGUGUACACAGUUCGAUAAAGAUCAGCACGAGUAGCAAAUAACUUGUGGAUACUAAGAUCUAGCAAGAGCACCCAUUACCAUUAUUAAGGAGUAAAAAAACACUAAAAGAACUAAACAUGUAUUUUGCAAGUAAAUGAAUUAGAUGAUACUAACAGUCUUUAGCACGAUAGCAGAUCUCAUCACCCAAAACUCGCAGUCUCCAUGAACCUGCAGGUGGUGUAGUAUGUAUAUUAAGUUUCACUUACUUAUCCACAUCAAUUCCAUUCUAACCAUUUGCAACAAUAUCAUAUAAGAAUUGCUUCUCCUUUGCACUCUUCAAAGUAAGCACAAAAUAGUGUAUGUGUUAGAUAAAGAAAAGAAACAAAGAAUGUUUGUACUUCAUACUGGAGCAAAAUAUAAAAAAUCCAGUGAUCAACAUGUGCCUACACUUAAAAUAUAAAAAAUCUAGUGAUCUACCGAAAUUAAACUAUUCAUCAAAAUGAUUGCAAUUAACUGAGUUAAAACAUGAUUUUUUUUCUUUUCUUGCAAAUAUCUAAAGUUUUUUAUACCUUCCCAAAUGGUGAAACAAGCUGGUGAAGUGCUGUAAUUCUGUCUCCUAAUUUUUCUUUCCUCACCUGCCAUAUAACAUAUAUAUGUAUAUAUACAAGUCAGAAAAAAAGAAAAAGUAGGUGAUUAAUUUACUAUUUUACUUUCACUUAAACUAUAUUCUCUUUUUCAUACAUUAAUAGAAUAUGAUAGUUACAGCAAAAAAAAAAGAAAAAGAAUCAUCCCUCUAGAAAUCGACAACCAAACAAGGACAACAGUUUUUACCACCCCACAUGUAUUUUGUGUAUGUGUAUAUAUAUAUAUGCUUGUGAGUGUGCGUGUGCGUGUGCGUGUGCGUGCAAUCUGUAUUGAGAUAAAAAAAAACAUAUAUUUAAUUAUAUAAAAAUUAUGAUAAAAGUAUCAUGGAAGUCCCUGUACUAAAAGGUGGAUUACAUUUUGCCCUUUUACUCAAAUGGUUUAAUUUAAACACUCAUUCAACAGCUAUUACCUAAAAUGCUACCACUUUUGAGGUAUAAAAUCAGUGGAAGUCUAAAUGAACAAAGUCCUAAGCCAAUCAAAACAAAGUCACCAAGAAAUGAAAAAACAAUCUGUUCUUAUCCUUUCGAAACAGUGACCAAAUACAAUGAAUUCAAAAGGUUGUCCUUUUCAUAUCUGCUUAUCAACCAAAUACGCAAUGAGAAAAAAAAAUCAUGAUCCGCCAGCAGAAAAGCUUGAAAUUUGAAUGGAUCAAAUGAAACAUAAAUCUAAUGUAAAACACACCUGGAGAAAGCUUAAAAGAAGAGCUUUGAUGAGAUUUUCUGGUGUGAGCUCUGGCUGACGCUGCUGAUAUCUUCCUUCUAACUUCCCCAUUAUCGUCCCUCAAAACCCAAUAAUCUGUAAAACGAAGACUCCCCCAAAUUACUUCAGAUGUCUCUCUUAAAUUCUAUUUAAAAAAAUUAAAAAUCUAUAAAAAAAAUCAGUUACUAUAAAAAAAAGAGAUAAGUGUGAAUUAAAAAUAUAAUCCCAAAUACUGAUUCAAUUGCAGACUGGGAUUUAUUUCUUACCUCAAAGGUACAGCAAUGGUUGUAACCUCUGUAACCUGUUUGUGAAACCUCUGUAACCUGUUUUACUAGUAAAGCCGAUAAUAAUCCAGAAACUGGUUGUAACCUCUUUGUAUUUGCCUGGGAAACCAGAAAUCUUCUCAUUAUCAGCAUAUGUUGAUUUUUUUUAUAAUGUCGCAGGGAGGGAGGGAGGGACAGAAAGCAAGAGAGACGGCGAAGAGUUUUAGGAGGGAAAAUUAGGGGUUUCGGGGAAAUUUGGGGCUAAAAUGGGGGGAGAAUUUUUAAAAGUGAAAUUAGGGUUUUUAGAGGGAAAUUUUGGGAUAAAACGGCGCCAAGUGAAAUUAUUUUUGCGACGUUUUAAAAAAAAAGCCGGGAAUGUACCUUUUGUGGAUUUUUUUUGAAAACGUCACUAACAAAUUUAAAUUCUUUUAUUGAAAUGACGUCGUUUUGAGAAAUAUUAAUACAUAGUAACGGCGUUUUUUGCUAAAAACGCCGCUAAAGCUCUCAUAUUUUUUAUAUUCAAUUAUUGUAUCUUUCAUAUAAAUUAUACAUAAAAGAAUUAUUAAAAUUUUAAGUAAUAUUUAAAAGAAUUAAAUAAUAUUAUAAAUUUAGUUUUCUUAUUUCAUUUUUAUUUUUGUAUUUUUUUCUUAUAAUUUGGUCCUAUCUAAAUUAAAUAAUUACCUAUAUAUCCAUAUCAAAUAUAUCAAAUGGUUUAAAUUAAAUAUUUUUAAAUAUAAAAGCAGUAAUUAAUUGUAUAAAAUUGUAUCAUUUAACAAAUCUCAAAUAAACCUUAAACCCUAAAUUAACCAUUCAAUAUACAUAAAGUCUAUCUAUUAUAUAUCUCUUACAUAAUAUAAACUAUACUCAUAAUUUCAAUAUAUUAAAUUUAUUAUUAUCUCUUUUACAAUUAUAUAAGAACAUAUUUAAUAUAUAAAUUAAAAAAUCAAUUAAUCUAAACCCUAAACCUUAACCCGACCCUUGAAACCCUAAAUCCCUAACUCCUAACCCCUAACUCUUAACCCCUAAACCUUAAAUCCCAACCCUUAAACCAUAAUCCCUAAAUCUAUAUAUAAUCCCCGAACCUUAAAAUAGUAACUCCUAAACUGGCUUUAAAUAUUAAAUUAACCAUAUACCGUAAACCAUAUAAACCCUAAACUAUAAUGAUAAUUAAUUAAAUAUUUUAAAAUUAAUACUAUCUUAUCUUUUUCAAUUAUAUAUGAAAUUAUUUAAUAUAUAAAUUAAAAAACAUCAAUAAAAUAUAAAUUAAAAUGCUUUUUUUUGGAUAAUUUAAUGAAUAUGGCAGGAUUAACUCUAAACCCCUAACCCCUAAAUUCUAAACUUAGCCCUAAACCUUAAACCCCAACCCUUAAACCAUAAACCAUAAACAAUAAUCCCUAAACUAUAAUGAUAAUUAAUUCAAUAUUUUAAAAUUAAUACUAUCUCUUUUACGAUUAUAUAAGAUAUUUUUAAUAUAUAAAUAUCAAACACGUCAUAGACACUUAAAACUUUGAGAUAGUUAUACUAUUUUUUAUUUCACUUAUAGGAACCUCAUACACUCAAGCACUGCAAGUCUUUUGUGAAUUAACCAAUGGUUAUGAAGAUCUACUACUUACGGUUAUCAAUGCCAGCUGGAAUCACAAAUAUUAACAAGAAUCAGACAUAGAUAGCAAAAUUAAUCAAGCACUUUCAAGGGACAUUCUAGCAGUUCUUUAAAGAAAUGGAUUUCAAUCCAAAAUUCAACAGUUCUGUAACUAGCCUAGCAGACAGAUGGAAAAAUAAUAUUUAUUUUAGAGAUCAGUCUACCUCUUAAGUGGAAUAACUUUCUAUAAACUUUAACCUUGUGAACUUUUUUAUUAAUAUAUUUCUUCUAAUACUUCUUAGAGAUAAUCACAGUCAAGAGAUUCAACCAUUAAGAUUCAAUGGAUGGUUAAUAUAAGACCAAACAAAGACAAUGCAUCUAAUUUAAUAAGCUCAGCAGUGCUCACGAAUAAAGCAAAACAGUGUAUAAGAAAUUAUUUAGUAUGUAAAUUAAAAAACACUCAGUAAUGUACCCAAAAAACUUAAAAACUAUUUUAAAUAAUAGUAUUUUAAAUCAUGUACCCAAAAAACUUAAAAAUAUUUUUUGCGGCGCUUUUUAAAAAACGCCGCUAAAAAUAGAGCAUUAGCGGCGCUUUAUCAAAAACGCCGCUAAAGACCAGAGCAUUAGCGGCGCUUCUUCAAAAAUGCCGCUAAAGACCCGAGCAUUAGCGGCGCUUCUCCAAAAACGCCGCUAAAGACCCGAGCAUUAGUGGCGCUUAUUCAAAAACGCCGCUAAAGACUCGAGCAUUAGCGACACUUCUUCAAAAACGCCGCUAAAGACCCGAGCAUUAGCGGCACUUCUUCAAAAAUGCCGCUAAAGACCCGAGCAUUAGCAGCGCUUUUCGAAAAAUGCCGCUAAAGCCCUGAAAAAUCAAAAAACGAUGUCGUUGUGCUUGGGUUUUUUGCGACGCUUUUUGAAAAAUGCCACUAAUGUUCAUUUUUAGCGGCGUUUUCCAAAAAACGCCGCUAAUACUGGAUCUUUAGCGGCGUUUUUCCUAAAGCGCCGCUAAUGCUUGAUUUUUAGCGGCGUUUUUUGUUCAAACGCCACUAAAAACGCCGCUAAAAGCCUAUUUUGGUGUAGUGAAUAAACAAGUAGAUUGAACGGCUGGGUAGGAGAUAGGCUGUUAAAACAGUUGUUGCCCAAAAGGUUAAAGUGUUGUAUAACCAAAACAUUGUGCACACGUUUAGUAUAGGUUCUAUUUUUUUUUCUUCAGCGGGUGGAGGACUUGGUACGGGUCCAGUGCUGGUUAAACCUAAAGAUGCGUCAUACUUGAGUUGGAAAUUCUGGGAAUUUGAAAUGGUACCAGGCUGCUUUGGAGGGUUCAAAGUGGCAGUGUAUGUGGCUGUUAUAAUUAGCACUGUGACUACUAAAAAUGUGUUACGCAUCUCAUGUGGGAUUCCCUUUGUUGACACCAUUUUUUUUAUAAAACAAGGUCGACUUGGGUUUUAAAAAUGAAAACAAACACGAGAGUCGCCACCAAUCCUUUUUGAUAAGGUGUGAUCGGGCCACCUUAAAAGUGGUUAUUUUUAAUAAACAAUUUAAUUUUAUUAAAACAACGAUUUCGGUCCACGAAAUUCAAAAAAUCGGUUCAGGAGUCGUUUACGUACGAGGAAUGAUUAGCACUCUCGUAACGCCCAAAAUUGGUACCUAGUUGAUUAAUUAACGUCUUAAUGUUGAAGGUCGAAAGAUUUUAAAAUACGAUCCUUAUAUUAAAAACUUGGAUAAAUCAAAUUAGCCGUUAGGACCCUCUCAUUUCAGAGAGAGAAAAUAUUAUACCCAAUGAGUUAGGGCAUGAUAUUUCACCUCUUCAAAAAUGUGCUUGUCUAAACAACUCGUACAGUAAAAUUUAAAAGGAUAUUCAAUUGUUUAAGUCAGGUGAAAAAAUUGUAGCCCAAUACGUUAGGGCACAAUUUCUCAAAAUUCUAAACAUUGAAUAUUGCCUUUAUUUAUUUUUUAGAAAAAUUCACGUCUCGAGAAAACAACGUGUCAUAUCCAAUGCGUUAGGAUUCAACGUAUUGAAUUCCCGAUAAUGAGUUUUUAUUUAUGUUUUUGAUUAAAGAGCAUUCUCGAUUAUUUAGAUUCAACGAAGAAAAUUAGAACCCAAUACGUUAGGGCUCAAUCCUCUCGAAAAUCCCAGAUAUUGAGUAUUGCUAUUAUUUUAGAAAUUUUCCUUUUUUCCAAAUCUGAGUAAAAAUUGAUGUAAUGGAAUAACAAUUAUGAUAAUAUAAGUAAAAAUAAUAAGAGCAAAAACAAAAAGAUAAAUAAAUAAGAAGACAAAUAUUAAUAUAUAAAAAAAUCAUUCAUGUAUACACAAUAAACAAGUAAUAAGCAAAUAAAAGUGAAACAUUCUUUUAAAAUAAUAAUGAAAGCGUAAAUAGAUAAAUAAAUAAAGAAAAUGAAUAAAAUUAUAAGAAUGUAAAAAGAUAUAUGUAUGUACAUAUAUAUAUAAAUUAUAAGAUAUAAUAAGAAAUAUAUAUAAGCAUGUAUAUAUAUAUUUAUAAAAAUUAAAAAAUAUGUAUAUAGAUAUAUAUAUGCAUAAAAAUUAUAAAUUAUAAAAUAUAAAAAAAAUAUAAGAAUGUAUAUAUAUGUAUAAAUUAUAAAUAAGUUAUAAAAAUAUGUACGGGUAUAGGUAUAUAUAUAUUAUAAAAAUGUAUGUAUGUGUAUAUAUAACAAUAUAUGCAUGUGUAUAUAGAUAACAAAAUUUGAAGUUUAAAAAGUAUAGAUAAUAAUAUUAAUGAUGUAAUAUAAUAAUAAUAAUAUAUUAAAAUGAUCAAUUUAAUAAUAAAUAACUAAAAUACCAAGCAGAGGACUAAAUCGAAACUAAACAAAACUUUAGGGCCGAAAUCAAAAAUGAAGAGUAGAGAAAAGGACUAAAUCAUAACGCGUCUGAAAGGAAAAGGACCAAAAAAGAAAUAAACCAAGUCACCCAAAACGCAGCGUUGCAAUGGACUAAAAUGAAAUCAGUGAGAAAUUAUGCAGUCCAAUUUGAAGAAUAAAAAAAAUCAAAUUAAAACAAAGUGCAAAGGUGGAGGGCUUAAUGCGCAAAUAUCCCUCCAAAGUAAAAAAACACGCGGAUCCUUCUCAGGGUCGGGUCACUGCGCGGGUCAGGGCUAAAACGGCAUCAUUUUGGCUCCUGACCCUAAACAGCAAAACGCCGCCGUUUAAUAACCUUUAUUUAAAACAUAUUUUUUCUUAGAAAAAAAAUCAUUUUUUAGGGUUUUAGAAUAAAAUUGCAGAGGAAGAAACUCUCCUGUCGUCAGCCGAAUGGGCCACCAUCGGCCCCGCCGUGGGCGGUGGGCAGAAGGCCAAAAGUUGGGUUUUUUAAACCCCGCUUCAAGGGCCGUCUGAAGAUCGAGUUUUCAUGACCCUAAGGCCAUAGGAAGAAACCCCAAACGUCGCCUUCCCCAUCCGCUUUCGGUGACUCGAAGGACUCCGGUGACGACACUUACACGGCGAUUCAGGUAUGUUUUCCUUUCUCUUUUUAUUCUAUUUAUUUCGUAUGUAAAAAAAAAGAAGAAAUGGACCGAGAGAAAAAGCCAAUCGGAAAAUGUAAAAGGAAUCACCUUUAAAACUGUUUUCUUUUUUUAUUUCUUGAAUGUUCGUGGAAAAAAAAAGAAAAAAGACCCCCUUACAGAUGUAAAGAUCGGUUUUUAAAUCGAUUCUCCCCCCAAAAAAAUACAAAAAGUUUUUUUUUUAUUUCUUUCUAUUCUUCCUGUCACUGCUUCGGUUGCUUUGCAAGUACUUGAUGGUGGCAAGUGGCGGUGGGUAGGUGACAGAGGGCAAGUGAGCGGCGAUGUGACAAUGGCGGCUAAUCAGGGCAAGUGGGCGACAGAGGCUGCGACGCUAGGCUAGGGUUUCAGAAAAUUGAAACCCUAGUUUGACUGGGUUUGUUGGGCUGGUUUUUGGUCUGUAUUUGGGUUGUUUGUUUGGGCCAAGUUUGGGUUGAUAUGGUUAUAAUGGGCCCUUUGUAAUUUUUUGGGUUUGCCUGGGCAAAAUUCGGCUGUACACCCUUCUUUCCACGACUUGCUAUUGUUGCAAAUUUUUGAAGACUGACACCUUUCCUUUUAAAGAUUCGAUGUGGAAUGAAGAGAUGGAGGCUUUGGGAAGCGAGGAAGAGGAACCACUCAAACCUCCUGCUUUGCUUAUCAUGUCUUUAAUGGACUCCUUAUCGUCCACUCUCCCUUCAUCCAAUGGGUAUUGUGAUGGGAUAUCAAGUGCAGUCAAUCCCUUAGCAUUUUUGCAUUGAUAUGGUCAGCACACAAGCGUUUCAACAGUAAUUUUACCACCUGUUAAUUAGAAUAUUCAUACAAGUAACCUUUGAGUAUAUAUAUACAUAAAUAAUUUCACUUGCAAAAUUAUCAUACCUUAGGUCUGUUUCUGAUAGCAGCAACAUGUAAAACAAUGUUGCCAUCAAUGUCUGCCCAACUCAGAAGUUCUUUCUCCCAACAGUUGGCAGCUUUAUGGCGGCUCCUUAUAAGCCACCCCACCAAGACUUGGAAAGCUUCAAACCUGUCAUUUUUUACAUGAUUCUUUACAUGUUUUUGGUUCCACUGCAUAUUAUCAUGUAAAAGAAUCUAAGUUAGACCCAAGAGCAAAGAAAGCAUUAUUCAUGGGUAUAACUGGUGGAGUAAAAGGAUACCGUCUCUGGUGUCCUGAUACAAGGAAAAUUAUUUUCAGUAGAGAUGUGACUUUUGAUGAAUCAACCAUGAUGAAGAACAAUGAUUCACAAAAGGAUAACACAACCAAUGGCACUUUGCAGCAGGUGGAGCUUGAAAAGGUUAAUGAUGAUCCAGCUAAUAUUGAAGGAACAAAUGAUGAAGAAGUUUCGACCCAAGAACUUCUACAGCAACAUGAUUCAAUUGCAUAUAGAAGGCCAAGAAGAGAGAUUUGUAUGCCUGCUCGCUUUAAUGAUAUGGUGGCCUAUGCACUUCCAAUUACAGAUGAUGAUGUUCCUUCUACUUACACAGAAGCAAGAAGUAACCCUGAUGGUGUAAAGUGGAAGCAAGCUAUGAAUGAAGAAAUGCAGUCUCUUCAUAAAAAUAGGACUUGGGAGUUGGUGACACUACCCAAAGGAAAGAAGGCAAUUGGAUGCAAAUGGGUAUAUUCAAAGAAGGAAAGAUUUCCUGAUAAAAAUGAAGUUCGAUACAAGGCUAGAUUGGUAGUAAAGGGUUACGCUCAGAAAGAAGGAAUAGACUACAAUGAAGUAUUUUCUCCAGUUGUGAAGCAUUCGUCUAUUCAGAUUUUGCUAGCCUUGGUUGCGUAAUAUGAUCUUGAACUAGUUCAGCUCGAUGUGAAGACCACAUUUUUACACGGUGAUUUGGAAGAGGAAAUCUAUAUGACUCAGCCAGAUGGAUUCAAGGUUACUGAUAAAAAAAAUUGGGUUUGCAAACUGACAAAGUCACUUUAUGGAUUGAAACAAUCUCCGAGGCAGUGGUACAAGAGAUUUGAUCAGUUCAUGAAAGGGCAAAGGUAUACAAGAAGUAAAUUUGAUCAUUGCGUGUAUUUUUAGAAGCUACAAGAAGGAUUUUUCGUAUACUUGCUCUUAUAUGUUGAUGAUAUGUUGAUAGCAUCUAAGAGUAAAGUUGAAAUUGAGAGAUUGAAGACUCAACUCAACCUUGAGUUUGAGAUGAAAGAUCUAGGUGAAGCUAAGAAGAUCCUUGGCAUGGAAAUAUGUAGGGAUAGAGCUCAUGACAGAGUUAGUUUGUCUUAGAAGCAAUAUUUAAAGAAGAUACUACAGAAGUUUGGCAUGAACGAGCAGACUAAAGUUGUAAGUACCCCGUUGGCUUCUCAUUUCAAGCUUUCUACACAACUCUCUCCUUCGACAAAUAUGGAACAAGAAUACAUGUUACAAGUUCCGUAUUCUAAUAUGCAAUUGUGUGUACAAGACCCGACAUUUCACAGGCAGUUAGUAUAGUGAGCAGGUAUAUGCAUAAUCCUGGAAAAGGACAUUGGCAAGCUGUGAAAUGGAUUCUACGGUAUAUUCAUAAGACCAUGGAUAUUGGAUUACUGUUCAAGCAGGAUACUACACUUGGUAAAGGUGUUGUUGGGUACGUUGAUUCUGAUUAUGCCGGUGAUUUGGACAAACGGAGAUCAACCAUUGGUUAUGUGUUUACUCUUGCUGGAGGACCAAUAAGUUGGAAGUCUACACUGCAGUCUACAGUUGCGUUGUCAACCACAUAAGCUGAAUACAUGGCUGUAACAGAGGUUGUAAAGGAAGCUAUUUAGUUACAAGGUAUGGUUAAAACCUUGGGUUGGUUCAGGAGCAUAUUAAUGUGUAUUGUGAUAGUCAAAGUGCUAUUCAUUUAGCAAAGAAUCAAGUCUAUCAGGCACGUACAAAGCAUAUCGACGUACGUUUCCAUUUUGUGCGGGAAAUUAUUGAUAACGGGAAAAUUCACCUUCAGAAGAUUAAGACUGCAGAUAAUCCUGCAGAUAUGAUGACCAAGGUGGUAACAACAAUCAAGUUCGAACAUUGUUUGAACUUGAUCAAUAUUCUGCAUGUUUAACACUUGAAGAAUCCACUAUCAAGUGUUGUUGACAAAGGCAGAGAGAAUUGUGUGAAGAUAAGAUUACUCGAAUCAAAUCUUCAAGGUGGAGAUUAUUGGGAAUUAUCCAUAUUUAUGGAAAAUCAAAGAUAUGGGUAUCAAAUAAUAGAAAUUCAAAGAUAUGGGUAUUAAAUAUUGGAAAGUCAAAGAUAUGGGUAUCGAGAUAUUGGCAUCAUAAAAUUUGAGAUAUUUGCAAUAUAUGGUCUCUAAUUGUAAAGUGACUUUGCAAGUUGAUCCCUGAACCUCAACUAUAAAUAAGCAUGACCAUCUCUCAUUCUGUAUCUCAAACUUGCCAUUCUUUACUUAAGGCAUUGUUUUCUCUCUCUCUCUCUUUGUAAAUUCUCACUUGUAUUUUGGAGUGAAAUAUAUUUGGUAGUGGCCGAGGAUGUAGGCAAAAUUUGCUGAACCUCGUUAAAUUAUUGUGUUCUUUAUUGUAUUAUUCUGCAUGAAUUGUGUGUGUGAUUGUAGUGAUUUAUUGUGCCAUUAAAUUACGAUUGAGGGAUAUUCUGGCUAAGGAAGACCUGGUACUUAAGCGAUCCUUGUGAUCCACCUCUCUUUCCUGGGAAUUGAACUUAGUGUGAUUUUUUAGUACAAAAAUUUUACUCUUUUACACGCUUCCGCACAACAUCUUUAAUGAUAAAAGCUUAAAGAAUAAUCUUUAAAAUUUGGUUGUUGGUAGCUUUAUUUGGGUAGAAUUUGAGAUUUAGUUCAUAUAUUUUAAAUGUUAAAAUUUUAAUUUUUUUUACUUUUUCAAUUUAAUAUUGUAAAAUAAAACCAUAAAAAAAAUUGUGUACAAAUAGUAUUGAAUUUACAUAAAAAUAUAUAAAAAAUGCAGCAUAAAUUUGAAUAAUAAUACAUGAACACUUAAAAUGAUAAUAUAUGAAAAAAAACUUAAGAUAAUAAUAUACGAUAAAUUUAAACAAUAUUAAUAAUGAAUUUAAAAUAAUAUUAAGCAUAAAUAUUAAAAUAAGGUUAGAUUUAAAAAUAUAUAAAAAUAAUGGAAUAAUAAAUACUUAAAUAAAUUAGAAAAAUAAGCAAAUUAAAUCAAGCUAAUAAGGAUUAAAUUGGAUUUAAAACAAAAUUAGAAGGCAAAAACGUAAAUAAAAUAAAAUAAAGGACCCAAUUGAAAGGCGCGAAUAACUCAAAGGGACCAAAUGGGGAAAUAUCCCCGCCUUUUGAAAUGCAUCGUUUCACCAGGACCAAAUCAGAAACCAAAUAAAAUUUAAAGUAUCAAUUGAAGAAAAUAAAAAAAAUUGAAUUAAAAUAAUAAAAAAUACGGAGGGGGCAAAUGCAUAAAUAUCCUUACCAAGACCAGAACAGGCAGAUCUAGCUGCCUCUGGGUCGAGUCAUCGGGUAUAGUCAAUACGGCACCGUUUUGGAGCCAUUGAAACAGACUUUAAAUGGUGCCGUUGCAUGGCCUUUAUAAAACAAAAAAAAAAAGAAAAAUAAACAAGUUUUUAGCCAUUUCGAAUCAGAUAAAAACCUUAGCCACACGCCGUUUAGAAGCCUGGCCAUUCAAAGGCCAAUCGAUCCCUGUCUGAACUUCGAUUGCGACAGAGUGAGCAAGGAUUCGACACCACCAAGUAAUUUUCUCACCUUAAAUCGUUUUUUUCUUUUUUUACACAUGAUGAGUAAACAAAUAGAUGAGUCUAGAACAGAAAAGAAAAACAACGAAAAGAAAAAAAAAGGUUUCAAAUCACCUUUAGAAAAUUCUGAUUCUUUGAUUUUUCGUCCCCUUUUAUAGAUUUUUAAUUGGCUUUUUAUAGCCGAAACGAAAAAAAGAAAAUAUGUAAAAAAGAAAUCUAUUAUGUUAUCUAGCUAUUUUCAUUUGCUGGCAUAUUGUUGCUCGCUUUUUACUGUUAUUCGUUUCUGUUUCAGGUGUACGAAGGAGCGAUGACGUGGAGGUGCAACACGCGUGGAGGCCUGGUUCCCAGCUGCGGCGUGGACUGUUCCAAAAACCCUAGGGGUUUCUGGAGAUUUCAAAUUGGGCCACUUCAAAUCGGGCUAGGGUUUAAUUAAGUCUAGGAUUGUAUUAGGUCUAGGAUUGGGUUAGAUUUUGGGUUUAGGCCUCAAUCCGAAUUUGGCCUAUUGUAACUGAACUUUUGGACUUAUUAAUGGUUAUUUUGGGUAUUGGGCUAUUAGGGUUUGUUGGGUUUGGGUUUUAGAUAUUUGGGCUGAUUUGUGUUUGUUUAUUUUGGGUUGUUUGUGUAAUUCUGGAAUUUUUAUUUUAUUGGACUUUUAUUUUUUGAUUUGGUUUUUUUUUUGUGUGGGCUCGAGCAGAUUGGGCCUGCUACAAUAUUGAUGCAAAACUUUGUCACUAAAGUGCAAAUUGUAACAAUAGUUAAGUAGUCUUUUGUUCGAAUAACAUUAGAAGCACAUCAAAGUCAAAGCACAUAGACUUUAAGUUCAUUGUUGUUAAAAUAAAAGUUUAGGGUGGUUAGAUGUCUAUAAAGUAUAUUGAGACAAACUCCAUGGUUGUGGAUUCGCUUAUUAAGGGACUACCACCCAAAGCUUUUUUCCUGAGCACACUGUUGAUAUGUGUGUAAUGUCAUUCAAGGAUAUUUGAUUUUAGUAGGAGUUUGUACUUUUAAACGUUUUUAUGUUAUAAAUACAUUUUCAAUUAUUUUAGUUUACAAAUAUUAAGUUUUUUUUUUGUAGAAAGAAAGUUUAUUUGGUAAAGUUUGAUCUCACUAAGAUUAAUGUGGACCGGUUAGAAUAUGCAUGUUUGAAUCAUAUUACAUGUAAUUUUCAUGUUACACAUCCAUACUUAAUCUAUGUCAUUUGGUUGUGCUAAUAUAUGUGAUUAAGGCUGGAUUUAGUUAUGAUAUAUGUAACAAAGUUGCAUUCUUUCUAUGUUAACAUAAUUAAUGGACAGAUUGUUCGAAAUGCCUUUUAGAUACGAUAGUAAAAUUUUGAGCUCAUAAGGUUAUAUAAUGACAUGUAAUUAUAAGGUAAUCGGUAUAUAUAUAUAUGUCAUCCAAGUGGUAUAUAUGGACAUCACAUAUAUAAUAAGCAUGUUACAUGUUAUUAUUUACUAUCAUAAAAGAUUAACUCAAAUUAAAAGUGACCUAAUUUGGUUAAGAUUUAUUGGAUUUUAGUUAUUAAAUAAAAUAUAGGUCAAUAAUAUGUGUAGAUACUCUAGUAACUAAUUUCUAAUUUAUGAUGGGCUGAUUAGAAAUUAGGUUAAUGUGAAAAUGUUAUAUAUUAGGAUUUUAGUCUCCAAGUUACGCAUAUGUAACUUUUCUAAUAUCCCAUCUUGAGAAAAGAGAGAGUCACCUUCUUUAGAUUACUUGUGAGCUAAUUUGGAAGAUCAAAACCUUAAAAUUCGUAGAUUUCAAGAAAUCGGUAAAUUCAAAUACGCUUCUGCAUUUAGUUUUGUUCUUAAUUAUUUGACAUGAUAGAUUCUGAUUUAUUAAGUUUUGUAAAAGAGUUUUACGGUUUUAAUAGGAUAAUUACGAAUCCCAAAUAUAAACUGUAAAACGGACAUGAAGAAUAUAAAAGAAAUAUUACAAGAAUUUUGAAAGAGAAAAUUAAAUUGAAAAUUUUAAUGUUAUUUUUAUCUUUCAUAAUUAUUUUUAUUUAUAUUUUAUUUACAAGAACAUUUUAUUAAGAGUUUAUUAGGAUUAAGUUUAUUUUUACUUUUAUUAAAUAAAUGUUAGACUAAAAAUAAACUUUUUUUUCCACUGUUGGUAUAAUGGAUAGUAGGCUAGGUUGUCCUUUUUUAUUUGUUUAGGCACCCGUGUAUGAGAAUAAUUUAUAUUAGAAUAGUCCUAAAGGUUAAAGAUUUUAAUAUUAAUAAAAUUUUGUCACAUCAUUAAAUUUUAAAAAUAUAAAAUUAUUAUUAUACAUUCGUUCAUAUUAAAUUUACUUUUUAACUUUCGUUCUUCUUAAACAUAAAUAAUUAAAAUAAAAAUAGAAAAAUAGAAUAUUUAAAAUUUAUACAAUCCUUAAAGAUUUAAUCCAAUAUUUUUUUUUGUUUUAAAAAAUGUAUAAUAUGAAAUAGAAAAAAAAAUUAAAAUGGAAAAACUCCAUUGCCUAUAAACUAAUUUUUUUUAAAAAAUUGGUUACAAAAAUUAAAAAUAUUAACUUCUGAAAAAAAACUAAAAAUGAUUAAAAUUUAUAAAAGAAGAAAAGAUGUUUAUUUAUAAUUUAAAAAAAUUAAUUAUUUUAAGUAAUUUAAUUAAAGUUAAAUUAAGUUAAGAAAAAGGAGAAAUGGAUAAGUAUAUAAUAAUACAUAAUUUGUUAAAUAUAUAAAGAAAUUUAUUUGAUUUAGUACCUAAAUAUUAAUAUUCGAAACUCUCGAUUUUUCACAAUUUAUUCAAUCAAAUUUAGAUCCAACUUUAAUUAUAUUACAAAGACAUUCUAUUUUAUUAUUUUAUUAACGGGUGAAAAAACUUAGUUCAACCCAUAAACAUUGACCACAAAGGGAAAUUUGAAACACUUACCACCAAUCCCCUAUCAGAAAGUCUUUCCCACAUUCAACUAGAAAUCAGAGCUCACCAAAAUGUUUAUUCUUUUCAAUCUGAACCGACUCUACAAUCACUUAUUGCUCAUGGUCUUCAGCCUAUAAACCCAGAAGCAUUAUUAACUUCUAAAUCCAAAACACUAAUAUCAGCAUCCAACCCUACAAUGGUAGUCUUAUUGACUCAUUUAAACAAGUUUCCUUUGUCAAUCUAUAUUCCAUAUUGGGUAAUCUCCAAUAUUAAUUCAGAAUUUAGGAUAGCUGGAACAAGAAUAACAGCAAAGAUGCAAAGCGAAACGACUUGUAGGAGGAGGAAGAACCUUCUUUUGGGUACAAACCUGUAUAGCAUAUAAUAGGAUGUCCUGUAUAAUGUCACGAGAGCUAGUACCGUUGCCAAGCAGUAAUUAGUAGUGCUGAGUUUAGAAUAGGAAACGGAUCCAGGAGUCGAAAGAUAGAAAAAAUACUGAAGUGCGAGUGUCCGUAUGGAAACAGCAACCAAAAGCAUGUAACAGGUCCCAAACAAGGAAAGUGUUAUGAGAAUAAACAAGGACAUUGAACGGCUGGGUAGGAGAUACGCUGUUAAAACAGUUGUUGCCCAAAAGGUUAAAGUGUUGUAUAACCAAAACAUUGUGGACACGUCUAGUAUAUUUUCUAUUUUUUUUUCUUCAGCGGGUGGAGGACUUGGUACGGGUCCAGUGCUGGUUGAACCUAAAGAUAUGUCAUACGUGAGAUGGAAAUUCUGGGAAUUUGAAAUGGUAUCAGGCUGCUUUGGAGG
This 46805-nucleotide long non-coding RNA is filed under the name Gossypium barbadense (sea-island cotton). RNAcentral describes it as "long non-coding RNA (GBAR_LNC020324)". The record is from RNAcentral. Lineage: Eukaryota; Viridiplantae; Streptophyta; Magnoliopsida; Malvales; Malvaceae.